GUGAUGGUGAUGGUGAUGGUGAUGGUGAUGGUGAUGGUGAUGGUGAUGGUGAUGGUGAUGGUGAUGGUGAUGGUGAUGGUGAUGGUGAUGGUGAUGGUGAUGGUGAUGGUGAUGGUGAUGGUGAUGGAGAGGGUUGAGAAUGGACGGUCAGGAUUAGUGGGAGAAGGGUUGCUAAGAAGAAGAAGAGAAUUGGUUGAUGAAGAGAAGGUUUCUUCAUGAUUUCUUCUGUUAUAUGUGUGUUUCUUUUCUGUGACAUUGAAGUGUCUCUCUUUUGGGUUGUGGAUUUUGUGACCUCAAGUUGAUAUUUAUAGAGAGAAGGUAACACAAAUAGCUAUCCCUUUUGUGCCGUAAAGCGAAAUAACGAUUUGACGUUAAUACCUUAUGAAUUUUUUUGAUGGGUUUUGGAAAAAGUUGAUAUUUGUGGCUGUGUCCAUAUGCAUAAUGGGCCAGGCUGAAAUUGUGUGUAUUGCUUUUGUUUGUGAAAUAAAAAUGCAAGCUCUCUUAAAUGGGACGAAAGCUAAGAGUAGCAUCUAACUUUGUGUUAAACAAUUCCGGAGCAAAGAUAAUACAUACAAACGAGAAAACAACAAUGUGUGGAUACCAACUGUUCUAGCUAACGGAAAUUUAUUGGUAAUAUUCCGGAGAAUUCGAUCGAUAUUUUAUUUCUUAAAGUAAAGGUUCCAACUUAGAAUGUACUGAUGAUAGAUGCUACCUUUACAAGUUUUCAUUGGAUGCUUGAUAUCGCUUGAGAUAUCUAAGAACCAUUGAUCUUGCAUCCGAUGGGUACAUAGCCGAAUAAGAAUAUCUAACUGAUCUACUUCAGCUAUAACUAAUAAACUAAUAUGGAAUUAGUGGAAUAAAAAUAAAUGGAAUGAUACGAAUGAAAUACAGUAAAAAAAUAUAAUAAAAAAAUAGAAUGAAAUUCAUGAACCAAUUGGUUAUGUAGUAGUUAUCUUUGUAUUUUAUCUAAUCAUUUUUGUAAUCGGUGGAAUGAUCAUUCCAUUCUAUUCAUAGUAAAUGGUAAAAAAAUAUUCAUAGUAAAUGGUAAAAAAAUAUGUGAAAUGAAUAGAAUCAACCAUUCCACAUCAUUGCAUUCCAAAAAAUUGAAAUACAGUUACAUCCUUCAUGUCUACCAUGAUUGUGUCGUAUUGAUAUAUACUUAUAGGCUGUAACUGGUAAAAUAAUAAGGAAUUGGUGGAAUUAAAAUAAAUAGAAUUAUAAGAAUGAAAUACAUCAAAAAAUGGAAUGAAAUUCAUUAUACUCAUUCAUAACCAAAUUUUUUAUGGGAUCAUUCAUCUUUGCAUUUUACUUAUUUUAUUGUGGAAUUGAUGGAAUGAGUAUUCUAUUCCAUUUAUGUCAAAUGGUGAAUUUUUUUUUUGGAAUUAAUGAAAUAAGUCAUUCCAUUCCAAAAAUUAGGUCUGGGCAUUCGGGUCCUCGGAUCGGGUUCAGGUCAGAUUUUGUCGGGUCCGGGUCCUUUGGAUCUUAGAUAUUUAGAACCAAUAGGUGAUUAAAAUUUUUCGGUUCGGGUUUGGUUCAGGUCAUGUCAGGUCCGGGCCAGUUCUGGUCUUAGAUAGUUGGACCCAAUAGGAUAAUUAGAAGUUUUCGGUUCGGGUUCGGUUUGGGUCAAGUCUAAAAAACCAAAAACACAAAAAAAACCUGAAAAUAUUUAAAUACCCAAAAAAUAUCUGAAAUUUUACCCAAAAUCUGACCCGAAGACAUGAAAAAUACCCAAAAUUUUAUCUGAUUAUCUGAAUUAUAUUUUCUAAAAUCUAAAAGUUUACUUGAAACCUAGAACCAUGCCCGAAAACCCAAAUCCAAACCUUAAAAAAAUACCCAUACUCUAAAAAUAUACUGAAACGCUCAUAUAUACCUAAUAUAUACUAGAAGUUUUGGGUAUUCCAGGUACCCAUCAGGUUUUGGAUUCGGUUUGGAUCGGGUCCAAGACCCGCAGGUCCUCCACAACAAGACCCAAUAGGAUAAAAAUAUCAGUUCAGUUCCUAUCCGAACCGGGAUUUUUCGGGUCGGUUUUGGAUUGAAUCUUCGGAUCCGGAUAAAAUGUCCAGGCCUACUAAAAAUCAACAAUCCAGUUGCAGUCUUAGAUCUCAUGGUUUUCAAAAUCAGACUUUAUAGCUUUUUCAAGUAUCACUAAAAACUAACUCGGAAGAUCUAGCAAUAAAUUUCCCUAAUCUAAAUAUGCUGAUUCUCUAGCACCCAGUUGACUUUUCUCUCUCCUUAUGAAGCCACAUCAACAAAGUGCAUAGAGCAAAAGGGGACACCUGUCAUGUAUUAUUUUCGUUGAACAAACAUCAUUCUUUCUAUAUGGGCUCAUCAUUUCUGUAUUUUUAUUUGUGUGUUUCUUGGGUUUUUCCAUAAAAUAUCACAUGGCCCAUCUUUUAUUAGGGCUAUCCUUAUUCCGAUCACAGACAAUCUCCGCUUUUCCUCCUUCACUCUUCGUGUUCUUAACACUCCAGCCAUCUUCUGUAACUUCAGCCGUUUUGGUGUUACAUCCCUUUAAUCUCACAUUUAUUUUGAAUCCACUACUCAUCCCACUAUCUAUUAAUUAAACAUGUUAUUACCAGUAAAGGUAACCGUUUGAAGCUCAAUAGUAUAAAUGUGUUUCUUCUCUGCGAUGAAAAGCCACACUGCUAGGAAAUCUCAAACUCCAGACAUAGUAAAGCUUCGAUUCCAGAUUCAGGUUUUGUACUUACCCUAGCGUUUCCUCUCACUCACACAAAAAUUAAAAUAAAAACUCAUGGCGUCUCGGAAAGUUAUCAUCACUUCUCCGUUCAUCUUCCGCCAGAUCUGCCGCCAGAUUCGUAAGCCGAAACCCUGGGCUCCUGUCUCCUUCCCCAGCUCGAUGCGCUGCUUUUUUUGGGGACAUCCUCGGUCGCGUCGCAGGAAAUUCAACCUCUUCACCGGCUGCGCAAUCGUCUGCUCCAGCUAAAGAUGAGGCGAAGAAGACAUAUGAUUACGGUGGCAAAGGUGUGGUCGGAAAGGUUUGUCAGGUCAAUGGUGUCAUUUUUGAUGUGAGAUUCGAAGAUCAGGAGGGAUUACCUCCGAUCAUGACUUCUCUGGAGGUGCAGGAUCAUCCCACGAGAUUGUUGCCUGAGGUGUCACAUCACUCGGGUCAGAAUGUCUUCAGGACUAUUACCGGUAUUAGGAACUUGAGCAUCUGAAAAUGCAUUUAGAGUUCAUUGUGCAGCGUUGUUGUAGAUGAAUAUUAACAUUUGGAACUUAAUUUACACUAAAUUGUUCUCCACCACUUGCUGCUUUAUUAGCCAAUCGAGCUUUUAUGGCAGCAGCAGCCAUCUGUUCUAAAUAAUAUGUUGAUGGUACAAAAUAUUUCUUACUUUAUGUAUCAGUCACCAGAAGAGUCAAUUGGUUAAUCAGAUUUUUUUUAUGCACCUGUCGAUUAGAGUUCUUCAAGCUGCAUUGUAGGAAAGUAUUCAGCUAGAUAUAUUAAUUACUAGUGGUAUUCCGGCGCUACGCGCCGGAUUCACAUGUGUUAUUUUCACAUGAAUUUACAGUUUAUUUAUGGUCUUAGUAAAGAAAAUAUGCUCAAAAUAUGAAAAUAAAAAUAUGUUGAAAGAAAAUGAUAUUUUUUGAUUAAUUUGAUAUUGGUUAGCGACCGUAGUAUAUUAUUCUGUUUUGAAGUUGCUUAAUUCAAAGUAGAAUAUAAUAAGUGGUUGUGACUAAUUUUCUGGUGAGAGAACUCAUAGGAAAGAAGCAGAUCGUUAUUCAUUAUUUGGUUGUUUGUGUGAGUUCAAAGUUGUAAACAACGUAAGGUGUUAUACCUAUGUUUUAUAGAUGGUGAGUUUAAGUUAUAGAUUUUCUUGGCUUCUUGUAACAUUUUGUUUAAAAGACCAUUUAUUUCAGAAGUGUUUGAUUUAUUGAAUCAAUGGUUUGUGAUGAAUUGACUGUUUGCUUACGUUAGAUUUUUAAUUUUUAUCAAGAUUAUCUAUAAAUAUUUAUAUUUCGUAUGGAUUUGUAAGAGAGCAUCAUAAUUUUGAAUUAGUAUAUUAUAUAUUAUGUAUGAAUCAUUAUUCUUGUUUAUUUUUCAUGUCUUCUUUCUAUUGAAAUUGUUUGCUGGUAAAAUAUUUAACUUUAUUUUGUUGAGUCAAGUUAAAGUUCCUAAUGAGGUUGUUAAGAUGGCUUAAUAGAGCUAUGUUCUUUUUUGGAUGGAUUAGUCUUUAAUAUAUUUUCUGUUAAGUCAUCUACUUUUAUUUAUAUUUUAUGUGUUUCUUGUCAAAAAAAUUUAUAAUGCGGUUUUCCGUUUAGACUCUGCAUAUAUGUACUAUUUUAUAUAAAUAUUAAAUUUAUGCUUGAAAUUUUUUAAAAAAUCACAUUUAUUUUGUGUGUUAUAUUUUUGUUUUAUUUAUUAUAUCAUAUUUUAUUUUAUUUUCUCAACUUUGAAUUUUUUAAUUUUUUUGUUAUGAUUAUGUGUUAAUUUUGGGUUCUGGGUUGAAUCAUUUUCUUGUUAAUUUUAUUUAAACUUUAUGAAACUAAAAAGACAAUAUCAUAAACAAAUUUUCCACCCUUUUGUUUUUAUAAAAGUUUCUUUUAUUAUUAGAAUUUUUACAUUAUUGAAUUAUAUUAUGUAUUGUCACUAAAUUAUUAUUUGUUGGCUAAUUAUAUAUUUUUAAAACUCUGUUGACUAAUUUUGCAUUAACCUUUUUGUUCUUAUAAGAAAAAUCAACUCAGUAUAUAUAUCAAUGAACUCUUAUUGUUUUAACUUAGAUACAAAAUUAAAAUUAUAGUGCUCUCAAUUACAUUUAAAUAUUGUUGUAAAUAUAUAAGGUCGAAAUACUGGUUUUGUCCAUCAUGAUGUCACAUCUAAUAUUGUGAAAAAUUAUACACUUGUUUAGCAUAAUAUUUCUGCCAAAACAUUAUAUAUAUUUGUGCCAAAAAUACUACAGAUAUAUAUUAAUCAUACAAAUAAAAUUCUUUUGUGUGAUUUUAAAUUAUAAACUUUAUUAUUAUUAUUUUUUUUUUUCCUAAAAAAAUAUAACACUUUAUUAUUUUAUGUAAUACCAAUAUAAAUAAUUAUUAAUUACAAAUAUGAUUUAUUUACAUAUAUAAUAUUAUAAUAAAAAUAAUGAGAAAUUCCCUAUGAUAGACCUAAAAAAGUUUUUGUCACAAAUAUAAACCUCAAAAAUAAAAAUGACCAAAAUAGACUUAAAUGUUUUAUCAAAAGAAGUAAAUAUAUACUUAUACCCCUAGGGUUAAUUAAUCUAGACAUUAGGGUUUAGAGUUAAGGGGGUGGGGUUUAGGGUUUAAAAAUAAAAAAAGUUAAAAUUUUCAAAAUAAAAAGUGCUAUUUUGGUCAUUUUAGUUUUUGAGGUCUAUUUUUGUGACAAAAACUUUAAAAGAUCUAUUUAAGAGAAUUGCCCAAAAAUAAUUCUCUAUUAAAUAUUUCUUGAUCUGUUACCAAUCUCAUGCUUUCUUUUCCUUGAUAAACUGUAAUGCAAGAUUUAUAAGAGAUAAAGAGCAAAGCAAUAGUUUGUAGCUGAAGGCGAGAAGAGUUUUGUAGAAGUUGGAAUCUUGUUGAUGUGUGUGUUCUCAAGACCGUCAGUGAAGGUGAGUGUAGUUGGCGGUUGUUUGUUUUGUUAACGGUCAUCGUUAAAUAACAUAAAGGUGGUGUUAUAAGCUGACGGGAAUUUAAAUCAUUAGAAUCAUAAGUUACAUCGAGUCUAAAGCAGCAAAAUGAAAGGAAAAAAGUGAGCUCAUAUGUUAUUACAAAACCAAAAAUCAUUAUCGCAGAAAGCAGAAGAGAUUGAUUACUAAUACUUGUAAAGAAAAUCAAGGCUGCCAGAGAUCUGUGAUUCUAAACCCAGCAACUCCACCAGGCCCUCCCAUUGCUGCAUGUUAAAGUAUGAACUAAAAAGGGCAAAUACAUAAGAAAAUAUGUUUGGAGUAUGACUUGGAAAAUAUAUACCUUGAGACUUUUAUUGGACACUGAUUUUCCAACAUAAUAAAACAGCUUUUGACAACCAUCACUUUUAGAUAGUGCUCGGCCCGGGCUUGCUGAAGCCGAAAAAUCCCUGACCCUUUCUCCACAUGUUUUCAGUGAUGCACUUCAGAGAUCUAAGCAUCAUAACUUAUUUCAGAUGGAAUCUGUUUUUUCAGCAACUUUUGAGAUAAGAAAACACAAGUGUAAAAUAUAUUUUGAACAUGUCAAUACUGUUAUAAGUUUAGAGUUGGCAUUACUAAAUUCAUAUAGAUGGCAAAUCUCUAGACUCUGCAUCAGGAGAAACGUAAUAACCAUGUGAAGCCUUCAGACAAGAUCUUAAGAUUUAAAGCAACAAUAGAGAAUGGUAAUAGGUGUAACUUAAAUAAGCAACUGAUUUUCUUUACCUGGCUGCCAACAGAACAACAGCUCUGAUAAGCGUAAUCCAUGUUUCUCGCAAGAUGGUAGAUAAGCAGGAGUUAUCUGAAAAAAUCCAAACAUAAAGAAUACACAACAGGUACCAACAUGGAUAAGUUCUCUGCAACUUUAGAUUGAUAUUUUUACAGGAAGAAGGUACAUGAUAAGUGAUAAAAGAAACGGUACCUGACAAGUCAAAGAAUGAGAAGAAAGACUUGAUCAUAGACAACUCUAUGGAGCUCUUCCAUGUUAUUUCACCUAAAUUCGAUGCUAAUCAUGUGCAAGAACUUCUGCUUCAUCGCUUCCAUAUGUGAAUAAGUUCAUCAUGUGUGCAACAAUCCUAACAACACAAACAAAAAGUAUUGCCAUGGAUCCGAUAAACAAUAUUGCAUUCUCAAUUGAAUCAACAACCGCCUUGCCUAGCCGGACUCUUUGAAACACACUGCUAGCGCAACUUGCAUCGCUUCGUUACACAAUGCCGAAUUGCUGAGAAAGUUACAGCUUUGGUUAGGAUUAAAUCCAAUGGCCUCAACUUCACAAAAUACGACGACAUGUAAUCACCACGGAGCUUCUGCUCCGCCUCCUCCGAAACUCCUCUCCGCCUUGGAGUCCGUAAUCCGCCAUCUUGAUUGAAUCCUGUCAACAUAUGAAAACUAAACCGAAGGUAUAUCAAAUGUCUAGAUCUCCUAGACUUUAUAACUGUUUCUUACGAUCUGAAUUUUGAUUCAUUCUUCGGCGUUUGAUACUAAUUGCUGAUCGUCUCGGAUGUACAGUAACUGGUUGUUAGAACAAACUAUUCUUCUCGAUCUCGUUUGAGUUGUGGUGGCCAUCGUCGCACCUUGUAACCUUCAGCCUGUUACUGUGGGAUGGAAGAGGUCGAUUUAGACGUUACGGGGAGGUGAAAGCCAUCUCAAAAGUUUAGUCCAUAAGAAGAAGAGGAACCAGAGGAAAAGGAAACCUAAAUAUUGACAUUAUUUUCCAUUUUGUUUAAGUCCAUCUGCAAUAAAAAAUUUUGUUUACAAAGUCCAUCGGCAAUCAGAAAGCCCAGUACAAACAUUGGGAACAAAACGCAAUUUCGGCUUGUGUUUAAGAGUGACACGUGUCCAAAAAUGUCUCCUCCUCUUUGCUGACGUGGCGGCCUAUGGAGACAGGCUAGUCAACUUUGUUUAUAAAGAUCUUCACUAACAAUUCAAGCGUAAGGGCUUUUUACCUCUCUCCAACAUCCCACCUGUAACCAAAAAUCAUGAGAAGAUAUCUAAAUCAAUUUCACUUCUUUCCUUAUGGUUUCAGAAGGAAACAACACCUGGAUGCACAUUAGUUUUCUGAUCUGAACCCUCAGCUGCCGUGAACGUCUAAGACAUUCAGUUAUACUUUCAGCAUCAAACGGCAACUAAAUUUUAUCCUACAGACAACCAAUAAUAUUAGGUUGACUGAAAACUAUUAACUAAAUUUUAGUGUGUGGUUAACAGUUAACUGAUACAAGUAAAAUUCUUUCACAGCUUUUCUCGGCAUUGCAACAAAAGAAUUCAAAUAACUUGCAUGGUUAAGCAGGAAAAAGAUAGAACAAGCAGCAUAUAUGAACUUUGUUCCCCCAUCGAGAAGAAGCUCUCUAUACUGAUACAAUCAUUGUAAACAUACUCUUCGUAUAAAAAAUUUGUAACUCAUUUUGAAAAUUCUAAUUAGUUCUUUUCGGUUAACAUGAUUUAUUGAUCUUCAAAUAUGACAAUAUAUACAUACUCUAUAUAUAUAUAUAUAUAUAUUCAAACAGUAAUGAUCAAAAAGUAUUAGAUUUUUAUGUGUGUACCUAACUUAAAAUAUUUUUUUAUUACAGUGAAUCGGGUACAUCAUAUAAAUCAACAGUUUAAAUAAAAAUGUAUAAAAUAAAAAGUAUAACAAACAUAUAAAAAGGAAAAAUAACAUAAGCUAACACAAUCAACCGCUUUUUUUUAAAUAUUAUUCUCAUUAUCAUAGUCAAAUUAGAAAACCAUUUUAAAAAAUAAAACAAAUUCAUUUUCAUGAAAAACAUUAAUAGUCAAACAAGUAUAUAAUCCCUAAAUGGAAUAAUAAAAUAGAUAGUAAUUUAAAAAAACAGUAAUAUUUAAUACUAUUUAAAUUAAAAUUUCAAAAAUUUGUUAGAUUUGCUUAUUUGUUCACCCGCCUGUAGGGCAGGCUACACCCUAGUAUAUAAUAAUCUAAAUGUUACAAAUCAUAAUACACUAAAAGUAUAAAACUCAUCAUGUCUAAAACAUGGUGAAGAGCUCAGGGACGCAAAUACUUAUUUUUCGGUCGAGCCAAUCAUUCUCUAUUGUGUGUAUGAGUUCGAAAUUAGAUAUGCUUCUUUAAGAUUUUUCAUUGUUACCAAGCGGGCAUGAUUUUUGGUGCUUUUAGCAUUUUGCUGGAUCUUAUAUUUUAAAUGAUUCCAAGUGGCAAUCGUUUCACUCCUUUGAUCGUCUCUCUUUCUCCUAGUGUUGGAGAUUUGAAGGCUUAAACUAUUGUCUUGAAGGACCAAAAGUUAAGAGACACAUAGAUGAUGGAAUGUAAACUACUUCCGAUGAUGGAAACUUUAACUACUUCCACUGACAUUAAACCCAAAUUAAAUUAAAGGCCCUUAGUUAAAUUAAACCAAAGUUUAGCAAUUUCUUCUUUUCAAACGAAUGUAAGGGAGAAAACAAAACGUAAUUUUGUCAAAAAGUUUAGCAAUUGGUUAUACUUUGCUUGCAUGAGAAAUAUUCUCUUUAUGUUUUUGAAUAUUGUAAUUUGUUUCCGUACAUUGUUGAUUUUCCUUAGUUCUAAUUUGUUGACCAACAUCUAUGAAUUAGGAAGCACUUUACUUCAAAAUAUUGCACUAAAAGAAACACACAAUUUGACUUUUUAUAUUCACAUCAAAAAUUAACAAACUGUAAUUAUGGAUGUAUAUAGGUCUAUAAACAACAUGUUUCACCAAAUCUAAACUUGCAUAAGGUCUAUAACCUUUACUUUUGCUCUCUACUAAUAAAACAAACUUUCCAUCUGUCUUAUGUUUCAGAGCUUCUAUUUUGCCUAUGGCCUGCAUGGUUGGACCAGCUUUGAUUCAUACGUCACUCAUUCCGUUGGAGGUUUCAUAUAUUUCAAGAUCAACAAUAUUUAUGUUCUUCUAUUAAAGACUGCUGUAGAAUCUUUAGAUCACUAAUGAGAAAAAUGAUCCACAAAAGGAUAAAGAGCAUUUUCAAUUAGCCCCCCUCCCUUUCGAAUUUCUCCGUCCUUGUCAUGUAUUCACACCCUAUAUUUCAAUGUGUUUAUAUACAGUAAAACAUAUAUAAAUUAAUACUCGAUAAAUUAAUAUUUCUAUAAAUUAAUAAAUUUCGCCGGUCCUAACUUAGAUCAGUUCAAAAUUUGACACAAAUCAAUAAAAUAAUAAGAUAAUAUUUUUUAAAAAAAAAAUACUGUGUAAAUAUAUGGUCUCAUUAAAAUUAUAAAUUAAUAAUUUAUAUGUAUAUAUAUUUUAUAUAAGUAAAAACUUAUUAUUAUAGUAUUUAUUUUAUAUUCAAAAUGGAAUUAUCUUUAUAAUUUCUUAACACUUAAUAUAUUUUUGAUUAGAUUUAGUAGUAUUAUUUCUAAAACACACAUUUAAGUUCUAUGCAAUAUAUAUUAUAUACACCAAAUAAUAUAAUGAAAUGAAUAUAAAUGUCAAAUUUGAAAAAUAACAAUUAUCUUAGAAUAAAUAUAUAUUAAAAUAAUAAAUCUAAAUAAAGAAAUUUUUUUAAAUUAAUAUUUUUAUAAAUUAAUAAAAUUUUAAUAUUAUUAAUCUAUAAAGGUUCUACUUUAUUAGACAACAUCUUCAAUUAGCCCCCUUCCCUUUUUCCCGUAUAAUUUUUUUUUUAAACAUAAAAGACCGUAUAUUAAUUUGUUGACUUCCCAAUAAUUUUGGCUCUACAUUUCUUUUCGGGAAAAUGAAAAAAGAAAACAAUGUGGAAAAUAUUGAACAAGGAAGAUUAAGAUGCGUCGGCUUUGUAGUUUGUGCAAGUUGCAAGUUGCAAGUUGCAACAUCCCGCGCGUUCCAAGUCAACCUCGUAUUCCACGCAAAUCGUAUCUUAAUCAUAUGGCUAUCUCAUCUAGUUUAUUACUCUCUACAUUUCCGAAAGUAAGAUGUUUUGAUUUUUUACUUAUUCCAUAAAGAUAAAUUUUCUAUAUGUUUAAAAUAUUUUUUUAUACUUUUAAAACACAUUAAAUAAAAAUAUUUGAAUUGAUGAAAUUUCAUUGGUGAAAAUUUAUUGUAAAAUGUAUAAUAAAAUAAAAAAAAAUUAAAUUAUAAAUAUUUAUUGAAUUCUUAAUAAACAUGAACACUUUAGAAAAUCUUACGUUUAGGAACUGAGGUAGUAUACUAUAUGUCAAAUUGUCAACGUUUCUUCUCUUCUGUCUCAAAUUUAUAACAUUCCCACUCUUUCAUUAUAACGGUAUUUUUAUGGUCAUGUAAGUUUGUAUGACUCAAGUUUAGACUCUUUUUUUUUGUUGGAUUUCAAAAAUGUAGGAACAAAGUUAUACAUAUUUGUUUUGAUUAAAAUAAUUUCAAUAAUUCGAUAAAAAAAAACAUAUAUGACAAUAUUACGGAAUAACAUUUUUGAAGUUAAACAUUAAGUUUUGGUUUAAAUCAUAUGUGUUUGAAUUCUAAUUAGUUUUCUGAUUGUUUAAGCUAUAUGAUGAUUGGUUAGCGGAGUUGAAUUCGGCACAUUACUCCAAGUAUAAUGAAUACAUGCAUUAUAUACAUUUAAUCAUAUAUAGCGGAUGUUUGAGUUGAACCGGUUCAAUGAUAUGACCAACAUAAGUUUUGAAAAUUGCUAUAAACAACUAGUAUAUCAAGACGUAACUCUUGGUUUAACUUGUCAUGGAUAGGGCAAUACGGAAAAAUCUUUACGUAUACCCUAAAAAGCCUAAAUUACUGGGAAUCGCUCGUCAAUCACGGGUCACAACCCGACCCAAUCAACCGUAUCUACCCAACAUGGUCCACCUUCGUCCAAUCAAUUAAAUCCACGUAGGAACUAUCCAUUGUCACUUGUCUCGUGGAAUCCCAAAUGACUCUUUCUUUUUCGAGUAUAAAAGAGCCUACGCACAACGAGUCUUUCAUAUCUCUCCCGCUAUAUAUUACAAAUACAAAUAAAAAAAGAACAGAACCAAACUCAAGAGUUAUAAAAAUGGCGGGAAAAUCGUUAACUUUGUCGGGACUGGCGGCGGCGAUUAUUCUCGUUAUGCUUCUACUUUCACCGGAGAUCUGCACCGGACAUGACUAUCGCGACGCUCUCAAGAAGAGCAUCCUUUUCUUCGAAGGUCAACGCUCCGGCAAGCUGCCACCAGAUCAACGCCUCAAGUGGCGCCGUGACUCCGCAUUACGAGACGGUUCCUCCGCCGGUGUACGUCCACCGUCUCCAAAACCCUCUCUUUAUUAAUAACUCGCAAUCUUUUACUGAUAUUUGUUUUUUUUAUUUUCAGGUGGACUUGACCGGAGGCUACUACGACGCCGGAGACAACGUGAAGUUCGGUUUCCCGAUGGCCUUCACGACGACCAUGAUGUCAUGGAGCGUCAUAGACUUCGGGAAAACGAUGGGACCGGAGUUAGAAAACGCCUUGAAAGCGAUCAAAUGGGGAACGGACUACCUCCUCAAAGCGACUGCCAUUCCCAGCGUCGUGUUCGUACAAGUCGGAGACGCUUACUCCGACCACAACUGCUGGGAACGUCCUGAGGACAUGGACACGCUACGAACGGUUUACAAAGUCGACAAGGAUCAUCCUGGUUCUGAAGUCGCUGGCGAGACUGCCGCCGCUUUAGCCGCCGCGUCGAUCGUGUUUGCGAAACGCGAUCUAGCAUACUCCAAACGCCUGCUGGACCGUGCAGCAAGGGUACUCUACUUUAAUUUUACUUUAACGUUCUUAAUUUUCUUCUUUUUUAACAAAAAUUGCAUGCUUUGUCCAAAAGUUUAAACAGAUAAUUAUGCUUUGCUUGCGUGAUUAAUGCUCUCUUUUAUGUUUUAUUAUCCGUACACUUUUGAUUUCUUGUUCUAACAAAUUUUGACAAACAUGCAAUUUACGCCACUGUUAACUAUAAAGCACUUCACUUUAAAAUAAAUAAAUAAAAACCACAAAAUCUGACUUUGUUUUUAUUUAUUUGUUUGUUUUGGUCAACAUCUGGCUUUCUUUAAUGACUUUCAAAAUGUUAAUUCAUUAAAUCAUGGAUGUAGGUGUUUGCGUUCGCUAAUAAGUACAGAGGAGCGUACAGUGAUAGUCUUCGCCAUGCAGUAUGUCCUUUUUACUGCAAUUUCAACGGUUACGAGGUAACUAAAGGUUUUAAUUACCACAAUUAGAUCUCAUAAUCAAAAGAAGUAAAACGUUAACCAGAUGAGUGUGCGUGCAGGAUGAGUUGCUCUGGGGAGCGGCAUGGCUACACAAAGCUUCGAAGAAACGAGUAUAUAGAUUGUAUAUUGUGAAGAACAAAGAGAUUCUUAGAGCUGGAGAAACUAUUCACGAGUUUGGUUGGGAUAACAAACAUGCUGGGAUUAAUGUCUUAAUCUCCAAAAUGGUCUUAAUGGGAAAAUCAGAUUAUUUUCAGAGCUUUAAGCAAAACGCUGACGAGUUUAUAUGUUCUUUAUUGCCUGGGAUUUCUCACCCUCAAGUGGAAUACUCACUAGGUAAAAUAAAGAAAAGUUUUAGUUAACUAGUUUCUCUUGUUUCAAAAAAAUAAAAAUAAAAAUUAACUAGCUUCUCUAGUGACUUUAUUUGUACUCAUCAUGUUUGAUUUUUACUGGGUAAUUUAACACAAACACAGGAGGAUUACUAGUGAAAAGUGGAGGGAGUAACAUGCAGCAUGUAACAUCUUUGUCAUUUCUAUUAUUAACAUAUUCUAAUUACCUAAGUCACGCCAAGAAGGUGGUGCCUUGUGGCCAAUUCACAGCUUCUCCAGCUCUUCUCCGUCAAGUAGCCAAGCGACAGGUAACUAAUUAACAUUCUUACAUUUCCCUGUUUCAGCACCGAGAUGGAGUGAACAUAAUAGUAGUUUAUGUGCUUGUGUCGUACGUUAAUGUAGGUGGACUACAUACUAGGAGAUAAUCCAAUGAAAAUGUCGUACAUGGUUGGGUAUGGUUCGAGGUUUCCACAGAGGAUUCACCAUCGUGGAAGCUCGGUUCCUUCGGUCGUGGAUCAUCCUGCUCGCAUAGGGUGCAAAGAAGGAUCUCGUUAUUUCCUCAGCCCGAACCCUAACCCUAACUUGUUAAUUGGCGCUGUCGUUGGUGGGCCUAAUGUCACUGACGAUUUUCCUGAUUCAAGGCCGUACUUUCAGCUGACUGAGCCCACGACUUACAUCAACGCACCUCUACUGGGCCUUCUUAGUUACUUUUCGGCCCAUGCUUAAUAUUCCCAAAGCAUAAUGAUGAAUAGUAGUCUGCUUGUCAAGAUUUUGUCUAGAGGUGUGCUGAUAACUCGUCACCACCCUAAACUACCAGAUGUUGAAUGUUUAUUAGUUUUCUACACCAAGAGAAUUCAGCCGAUAGGGGAAUUACUCACAAAACAUUGUUUUACUAUACAUGUUUAUGUAGCACACAAAUGAUCAAUUGUAAUUUGGAAUUAAAUAGUAGCUGAAAUGCCUUGCUUUAUGGAUGAUACAUGUCCGUACUUCUUAUUUUUUUAGAUAGCAUUUUAUUUAAAUUGCAAGGAAGAAGAAAUUACAAGGUUAUGAGUCAUCUAGUUCAAGAGAAUAGUUUGGGGAACACAAUUGCUCAUUUGAGAUAUUUACUAUUUUGAACCACAACUAUAUCUUAACUUUAAAUUUGGUCUGAAGGUGUGUUUCUCGUAGAUUUGAAUGACAUAAUCUAAAUGAUUUUUAGUAGUGUGCUGACCCAUAAAAAAAUCAUUUUAUUUAAGAGAAUAUUUUGAAAGAGAAUAGUUCAUUUGAGUUUUUUGCUAUUGUGGACUACCAACAACUCUGAAAAUGCUUUACAUAAAUUUGAAUGCAUAUAAUCUUAAUAGUGUAUUGGUCCGCAAAGAAAUUCACUGUGUCUUCCAUUGGUGUAAAUCUUCACAAAAUUUGAAAUUUGAAACUUUGCUAAGAAUAUUUUAAAGUAAAAUUUUAUAAAUUUGUGAUUACUCUUUUUAUUUUUAGAUCAUAAAAAUUUAAAAUAUAUUUUAUAGAUGAUUACAAUAGAAAUGUGAGGAGGUUUUUUUAUCAAAGAAAUGUGAGAAGGUUAAGUUUGCGCAGAUUUUUAUAUUACUAUAAUAAUAAUAGUGCAGAUUUUUAUUUAUUAGAAUUAAUCAAUAUUAACUUUGUGUCAUUUAUAAAAUAAAAAUUUUAAAAUACUGGGGUUUUGCAUAUGGUUAAACGUUAUAUUUAGUUUUUUUUACUAAAUUUUUAUUUAUUUAUUUUAGUUUUAAUUUGUGAAAAAUUACGUAGCUAAAAACAUAAUUCAAAGACAUGUUUUGUGAAUAAAAUAAUAACUUAAAUCAAAAUAAUAAAAAUGUAUUACAUUUAUUAUCACUUAAUUUUUUUACUCUAUAUAAUUAUUUUACUAAAUAAUAAACUUUUUUUGUUUCACUUAAUUUAGUCAAACAAAUAGAAAUAGUCUUUUUAUUAGUUUAUAAAAUCAGUUAGACAUGAACAUUGGCUAUUCAUUUAGGUAUGAGUUGUUCUUUCGGGUAUCAUUUUUUUUUUGAUAUUAAGUCCGCUUGAAUAUUAUAAAGUUAUGUGUGGGUUUUGAGUUGAGUCAUUCUGGAUGAAUUCGAUUUUGAUUUAUAAAAACCUAAAAAUAUCUAAAUAACAAAUGUAUAUAAAACAGGUUUAGAUAUUUAUACCAAAAAUAACCAUAUUACUCGAUUCGGUCCAAAUCUUUUGAAUACAAUUAGUUAUAUUACGAUUCAUCUAAAAUAUAUAAUACUAAUUAUGAAAAACAAAUAUCAAUGUAUAAAAUUGUAAGAACCAAUAUUCGCGCAGAUGAACGGAUCAUUCUCUAAUUUUAUUUAAGAGAAUAGUUUGAAAGAGAAUAGUUCAUUUGAGUUUUUUACUAUUGUGGACUACAAACAGCUCUGAAAAUUCUUUCCAUAGAUUUGAAUGCAUGUAAUCAAUAUAACUCUUAAUAGUGUAUUGGUCCGCAAAGAAAUUCAUCGUGUCUUUCCAUUGGUGAAAAUCUUCACAAAAUUUGAAAUUUGAAACUUUGCUAACUACAAAGAAAAUUUUCUUGACCAGUAACUCCAUUAUUUUUUGGCUUAUAAAAAAUUGAGGAACUUAUCCAAUAAUUUGUUCGAAUGGAAUAUUUUAAAAGUGAAAUUUUAUAACUUUUGUGAUUACUCUUUUUUAUUUUUAGAUAAAAUGUGAGAAGGUUAGCUCCGACAAAAUCUAAGAGAAGGCAGGAAAAGGGAAAUAAUUAAUUUGAAGACCAAAGACCAAGGUGUAGAAUUAUGAACUUGUCUUUGGUCGGCUGGUUUACGCUAACACAAGAACGCUAUUUUGUCCUACUCUCUCUUUCUCAAAAAGAUCAUUCCUUUUUUCUUCAUUCUCUCUCUCUCUCUCUUUCUCAGACAUUUUUGUCAAACGGAUGGUGCUCGCUUAACGAACUAACUAGCCCUCCGGGACUCUCUCUAGCUUUGGUUUUCUUCUCCGAUUUAGAAAGGAGGAAAAAAGCGAAAACGAGAUCCUAAUGCAAGUAGAGCGAGUGACAUGGAAGGAGUAGAGCUGGAAUUAGAGAGAAGAAGCAAGUUCUUGAACAGCUUGAUACAGCAGAAGAAGAAGGCUAAAGAGCAGCAUGACCUUAACGACGAGUUCAAUGUACGUGUUAGAGCUUCCGAUAUGCCUCUGGUUAUGCAGAACAGGGCCUUCGGUUUGUCGCGUGAGGUCUUGAACGCCACUCCUGGAAAGGCCGACAACAAAAGACUCGCUCUCUCCCUUAAAAAGGUCACACAUCUUUUCUUUCUUUUUUUUUUUGUUUCUCCCUUCUGAUUUCUCUGUUUAUCUCUUUAAAAGUCGCAUAUUUUAUUGAAAAAUUUGUAGUGUACUGCUUUUGGGUCCCUAUGGGGCUACCGUCUCAAGUCGCAUGCUUUCUGUAGAUUGUGUUACUGUCUUCUCGAUCUUGCUUGACUUGACGAAUCUGGAAUCUUUUCCGUUUUAGGAUUGGGGUGGGGUGGGGGGGUGGGAAUAAAGUAUGAGUCUCUUUGUAACUUGUCUUGAAACUGGAUGUGUUAUAUUUGCUUAUUUGAGAUGGGUUUUUUAGAGCUGACUAAGGAAGGCCAUGACUCAUGAGACCAUUUAAUAUCCUGGAUUUUAUAGAAGCUUCUGUUUCUCUUCUGUUAGUGUUAGAUGGCUACUGGUCAUGAUAAAUCUGUAGCAUCUUGCUUUAGGAGAGGAGCCCUGUCCAAAUGGAAACUUCUUUCUUCUGAUAGAGACCGGUCAGGCGUUACUACCACCAUAUAUAGAACUUUUGUACAUGGGCUCAGGGUCUAAUGAUGGACACUUCUAAAAUCUGGGGAUAUUGUUCCUACUUAGAGAGCAUUGAUUGUUAGCUUUUGACUUUGUAAAAUUCCUCAUAUUUGACUUGAGGUAUGUCAGAUAUUUUUAUUAGAGCUUGAAUUGUGGAUCCAAGUCUGAGUUUACAUUGGUGGUUGAGAUAUAAAAAAAAGCCAGUAUUUACUUUACUUGUAUAGUCUUUUAAUAAUGGCGGCCAUUCUUAGGUUUUAUGUUUGGCAUGCGAUUCAGAAUCUGCUGUUUUGCCUUCUUGUUAUGAUAAUGGAUCUCUUCUCUCCAGAUAGACCUUCAUAUAUAUAUUUCUCAUCUCUUUGAAAUUUUCCUAACUUGUUGCAUAGAAUUUAAACUUGCAUCAAAAUGUAUAUAAACUUUCCAUCUGAUCUUUACUGUUUUUCAGGAUUUUGAUUCAGCCUAUGGCCCUGCAUGGCACUGCAUCGUUGGGACCAGCUUUGGUUCAUACGUCACACAUUCCAUUGGAGGAUUCAUAUAUUUCCAGAUCGAUAAGGUUUAUGUUCUUCUUUUCAAGACUGCAGUGGAGCCCCUCACCAAUGAGUAAAUGUUGAUCCAUCUAAAAAAGACCAUCUUCAACUAGCCCCCCCUUCCUUUCUGUUUUCUCUGUCUCUUAUUAUUCACACGCUAUUUAAUUUCGAGUUUGAUGCAAAUCAACAACAGGUUUUUAACUCGUGGCGUAUAAAUUUUCUUCUCCUGUGAAUUGUUUCAAACUUCACAAAUGCAACUUGAAAUCGCCUUGAGAAAAUUUCUCUUUUUCAGUAUCCAUCCAAAGUAAGGAGUUUCAAGCACAUGCGUAUGUUUGGGUUGGUGAAAGAAUGUAGCAGAAGCCUAUGCGGAGAUUGAUAAGUCUUUUCUGAGCUGUGAUAUUUUUUUUUUGUCAAACAGCUUCUUGCAUUUCAGUCUACAAUAAUAAGUCGAUCAAGGCCCUGAUCUUGCCAAAGAGUCGGCCUGAUAGUUUUCUAAACGAGGAACAAAAAAACAUAGGAUAGUGGGACAGAAGAGCGUGGCAGAUUAGCCAAGAAACGAUUGAAAAACCUGUGAAUCGGUUUAACUACAAAACUAAAUUAUACUCUCUCUGUUUCACAAUGAUAGACUUUCCAAUGUUUUCACACAUAUCAAAAAAACACAUUAAAUCAUUAUAAUAAAUGUAUAGUUUUCUGCAAUUUUCAAUUUUUAAUAUCUUUUAAUCAAUAGUAAUUCAAUAAAAUCAAUUAAUCUUUUUGAAGUUUACAAUUUUUUUCAUAGAAAACACAAAAUAUAUAUCUUUGUGAAACAAUUUUAUUUUUCUAAAACAUCUGUCUUUUUGAAGCGGAGAGAGUAUUGUUUUAUUUGGUUUAAAAUGGUUUCUAACAUUUUUUAUAGCUUAUUUAUAUUUUGCUUAACUUAUAUGUUUGUAAUUUUCCCUUAAGAGUAUCUCCAAAAGAAAUUUUAUAAUAUUAAAUAUAGAAUUUAUUAAUUUCUAAAAAGAAAUUUUAAAACUUCAAAAUUUCGCCAGUCAAAACUUUAUAUUUAAAGUUUCACCACUCAAAACUUCAAAUUUGAAAUUCCAUCUUUUUAUUUACAUUUUGAUCCUUAUAAUAAAUUAGACUUCACAUUUAUGAUUCUUACGUAUUUUCUCAUUUAUCGUUUUAAUACUUAAAAUUUGUAUAUAUCAAAAAUAUUUCAAUUUUGUUCUUAUAAAUUCGAAUUUAAUAAAUAAAAUUAAAAUUAAAUAAAUUUUAAAAUAUUUUAAAACUAGAAUUAGACAACAAAAAUACUACAAAAGAAACUUAAUAAAAAAAACUUUUCAAAAAGAUACAUGAAGACAUAAUUAUUACACAAAUUUAAAUAUUACAACAACACUAAUAGUCUGGUAAAUUUACUUCGGAACCUCCAAAAUUUCUAAAAUAUAUUUCAAAUAAAUUUGUGUAACAGAAUUUAUGGAAUAGUGUAAUAUUUUGGUUUUAGUUAAAUAUUUAAUUAUGUAUUUCUAUUUAUAAUUUUAUAUUUAAGUGUAAGAUUUUAUUAAUUAAUAUUACUAUAAUAUUUUAAUAUUACUAUAAUAUUUUUAUAUAUGUGCUAGUUAUUUAUAAAAGUUUUAUGAAUUUAUAUUAGUUAUAAUAAAUAUAAGGACUAUAGUGUACAAUACAAAUAAUUUUGAAGUUAAGUUUGAAGUUUUGCUUUUGGAGAUGAACACCUUUAAAUUUCAAAUAUAGAGUUUUACAAACUCUAAAUUAGUGAAUCUUUUUUUGGAGGUGCUCUAACUACAAGAUUUUUGGUCAUAUACUCUUUUAUGUUUCACAUGAUUUAUAUUUUAGAAUUUUCAGACAUAUUAAAAAAAUUACAAAAAUAUAUAUUUUAUAAAUUUUCACUAACCAAAAUUUAAGAAACACAAUUAAUAUUUUUGAAUUCUAAAAUUUACCUAAUAAAAAUGUAUUGAAAUAUAUAAAAAACUAGGUGUUUUGUCCGCACCAGCGAAUGUAAUUAUUUUUAAAAUAUUUAUAAAUAGAUGCAUUAUCAAAUAAAAAAUCAUUAAAAUAAGUUUAUAUUUAUGUUUUUAAAAUAUUCUAUAAUAAUGAAAAAUAAAUCUUUAUAUAGAACAAUCAUCACACGAAUAUUGUUAUUACGUAAAAUAAAUUUGAAAACACUCAUGUGUUUAAAAUAUUUUUAAAAAAUUAAAUAUCAAAUUUUGACAAAGUUUUUCAUUCUAAGAAAUUAUUUUUAUUGCAAAAAUUAAACUUAAAAAAUUCAUGUAACAUACAAUUAUAUACAAUUUAUAUAGGGAUUUAUCUUUCUUUUUAUUGUUUAAAAAAAAAUUAUGAUGUAAAAUUAUUUUUUGGAUAACACAAUAUAAACUAUUUUUAGAUAAUUAUAAUUAUUAAAUUACUGAAAUUCGUUUUAAAUUUAUGGUUAACUUUAUUAACAAAGCUAAUUAUUUCUUAAGGGUUUAUCUUUUAAAAAAAAAAAUUUAAAAAAUUAUGAUGUAAAAUAUUUGUUAGAUAGACACAAUAUAAACUAUUUUCAGAUAAUGAUGAUAACAAAUUACUGAAAUUCGUUUUUGAUUUAUAGUUAAUCAUGUAUUAACAAAUCUAAUUAUUCAUUAAGAAUAUCAUUGACUUUCGUCAUUCUAACUCUUUCACCUUGAGAGCUUGAUUGCAAAUAACAAUGACAGUAUAGAUAUGUCUUUUGGAAGAAAAUUUUUUUUUCUAAAAAUAGAUCAUCUCGGAAAAGAGGGAUUAAGUCAGCGAAAGAUUUUCCUAAAAAUCCUACUCUCCUAACAGCCAAAGCUUGUAUGGAGAGUUUAGUUGACAAAGCUUUGUUAGUUCUUUGUGUUCUGUUGAACAUUCUUGUCUCUGUCUAAAGCAAAAAAAAAAAAAAAAGAGAUACCGUUUAAACCGAAAAACCUGAGAAAGAUCACAAACGAACAAAGUGACAGAGAGAGCAAAUGGAUCAAUCGCAGCAGCAGCAGGAGCGCACAGUCGGUGCUCCUUCAUCUUCUCGAUCGUAUCAGUUCCAUCCAGCUCGUGCUGCAAUCGUCGAUCUCUUCAACCUCUACUUAGGGGUAUAUUAUAUACAAUCUCUUCCUCCAUCUCCGACUUCUCGAAUUUCAAUUUCGCUGCUGAUUUCACCUUUUUAUUUCACAGAGAGGAAACCUUCAAAAGCCCGAUGAGCCCAUACGAGAUCCUCCGUAGGAUGUUUCCACGAUCCUCCUUACCUUCUUCAAUUAGACAAAUAAAAAUCUAAUCUUUUUGUUCACAGGAACAAAUCACAGAAGCGUGUUCAUGCUCCUGUUAGAGACUUACCACCUAGAAACGACCAAUUCAUUGUUGAUUUCGAGAAGCUUCAGACCCAAUUCAAUGUAAAGCUUCCACCUUUUUCAUCUCCUCCUCUUGUGGGUUCUGUUACAUAAUUGGUUUUUGCUGAUUAUAUACAGGACCCGGAUCAGUUGAGGGCAAUCACGGAGUCUGUUGUGAUAUCUAUGGUGUUGCAGUGUAGCAAUCACGCACCUAGGGCUGAGUUUCUUCUCUUUGCCCUGCGUACAUUGUGUAGAAUUGGUUGCGUUAACUGGGAUACCUUCUUACCUUCCCUUCUCUCUUCCGUCUCCGCUGCUGCUGCUGCUGCUGCUGCUACUUGUUCACAGUCUUUAGUUCCUGUUGGUGUUGGCUCUCCAGGAAACGAACCAACUGCUUUGUCAAAAUCUUUAGACGUCUCCGCGAAUGUGCAGCAGAUUGAUAUGAGGAAUAAUAGUCAACGUGUAAAAGCUGCAGCUAUAAACAGUCUGCGUCAGCUCAGCUGCAAGAUCAUCUUGAUCGGCGUUGAGUUCAAUCUCAAACCCGCCACUCACGCCGAGAUCUUCCAGUGUAUGAUGAGCUGGCUUGUGAACUGGGACAAGAGUGAUGACUCUCCCGGGAAGACGUGGAGAUCUGAGAAGAGUUUAGCUGAAUGGUUGAGGAGCUGUUUGGAAGUGAUAUGGCUGUUGGUAGAUGUGGGAAAAUCUAAGAUUCCUUUUUAUGAGUUGCUGCGGAGUGGUCUCCAGUUUAUAGAGAACAUACCUGAUGACGAAGCCUUGUUCGCUCUUGUCAUGGAGAUACACCGGAGGAGAGAUGCCAUGGCGAUGCACAUGCUCAUGUUGGACCAGCAUCUUCACUGUCCGACGUUUGGUACUCAUCGUAUAUCGUCUCCAACAACUGCUAAUGUUUCAGCAGAAGCUGUGGCUCACCUUCGCUAUUCUCCGAUUACGUAUCCAAGUGUGCUUGGUGAACCUUUAUCUGGCGAGGUGAAUAGUUUUUCGUAGCUAGGCAGACAAUUUGUGUGUGUUUUAAUCUCUCUUUUUUUUUUUUUUUUUUUAAAAAAACUGGUAGGAUUUGGCAAUGUCUGUUCCACAAGGAAGCUUAGAUUGGGAAAGAGCAGUGCGUUGCAUUAAACAUGCGAUUCGCACUACUCCGUCGCCAGAAUGGUGGAAGCGUGUUCUGGUUGUGGCCCCUUGUUAUAGGCCUUCUGCACAAGCGGGGCCCAUCCCUGGUGCUGUUUUCACUUCUGAGAUGAUUUGUGAGGCAAUCAUUGACAGGAUUGUUGAGCUUCUCAAGCUCACCAACUCAGGUAACGUUUAAGUGUUGAGAUAACCACUAUUGACUAUACUAGGAUGAUUGUUUUGGUAUUAACUUGGUAUAUGUUGCUUCUCUCUGUGCAGAUGCAAAUUGCUGGCAAGAGUGGCUUGUUUUCUCAGAUAUAUUCUUCUUUCUAAUCAAGAGUGGGUGUACUGACUUUGUUGAUUUCAUUGAUAAGCUGGUCUUACGCCUUAACGGUGAUGAUAACCAUAUUCUUCGAACGAAUCAUGUGACGUGGUCGCUUGCACAAAUAAUACGCGUGGAGCUUGUGAUGACUGCUUUGAACUCCGAUCCUAGAAAGGUAUUUGCACCUGCAAUUCAAUUACUUUUCUAUGAGCUUGACAUCUUGAGUUUUCUUUCAGGCGGAGACGACUAGGAAGAUCUUAUCAUUUCACAGGGAAGAUAGAGCUGAUCCCAAUAAUCCCCAGAGCGUGUUGCUUGACUUCGUGAGCAGUUGUCAGAAUCUACGGAUUUGGUCACUAAGCGCAACAACUAGGGCAUACCUAAACAAUGAACAGCUGUUGAAGGGGAAACAGAUUGAUGAGUGGUGGAGAAGCAAAGGUGGAGUAGAUUACUGACAACUCCUUACCGAUUAUGAGAACUACUCCCUUUCUCUCUCUCUCUCUCUCUCUCAAUUCUGUUUCUUGUUUCAGGAGAGCGGAUGAUGGAUUAUAUGAAUUUGGAUGAUAGGUCGAUUGGCAUGUUCUGGGUUGUCUCCUAUACCAUGGCGCAACCGGCUUGCGAAACGGUUAUAAACUGGUUGUCUUCAGCUGGCGUGGCUGAGUUGUUGCCUGGAGUACCACCAAACGAGAGAACGAUGAUGAUGCAGGAAGUGAGCCCGUUGCCCAUGUCAUUGUUAUCUGGCUUUUCCAUGAACUUGUGCUUGAAGUUGGCCCUUCAGAUGGAAGAAGCCUUGUUUGUUAACCAGGUUUGUUUAGUACUUUGUCUCAAAAUGUUAGGCUGUAGCAAGUCUGUUAGCUUUAAUUUACAUCUAUAGCUAUAAAAUUCACCAAGCUUUAUUUAGUUUUUAAGGCUAAACCCAAAAAAUAAAGAAAUAGUUGUAGAAAGCUUUAUUUUCUGUACUAAGCUGUAGGAAAAAAUAUUUGCUGUAGGAAUAUCUUUUUUUUAUUUUCUUUCUCGUUUAGUUUUUACGACCACAUCAUAUACAAUUAAAGAAGGACUAAAUUCUACAGUAACAUUUGGACAGCUACAACCCAACUAAUCAUCCACAUUAUAUAUGUUAAGUGAUGCAGUGGUCUAUGUUGCUUUACUUAGUGACCUGUUUUCUCCACGGUCGAUUGUUCAGAAAUGUUAUAGUAGAUUUUAAAAUCCUAAGUAAAAUGAAUUUAUGUCAUAUUAAAACAUAUGGCAGCUGGUUGUUCCUAGCAUUGCAAUGGUAGAGACAUACACAAGAUUGCUGCUAAUUUCCCCUCACUCUAUGUUCCGUUCUCAUUUCACUGUAAGCUAGUUGGUUCUUUUUUAUUCCCUCAUCACCUUUGUAUAUAUUACUGUUUUUUUAAAAAUAAAAUUAAUCAUAAAGCGAUUCAUGAGAUUGCCUAACUUUCUGUAGCAAAUUGCCCAGAGAAAUGCUUCUCUGCUAAGCAAGCCUCCCGUGACUUUGCUUGUUCUUGAGAUUCUCAACUAUCGUCUGCUUCCGUUAUACAGGUAAAAAAUGAACAAAAAAGUUCUCAAGUUGAAGUAGAUCCUUUUAUACUGACCUCACUAAAUGCACCUUUUUGCAGAUACCAAGGAAAAACCAAAAGUUUAAUGUAUGAUGUUACUAAAAUACUCUCUGCACUGAAAGUAAAACGUAGCGACCACCGUGUAUUCAGACUAGCCGAAAAUUUAUGCAUGAAUCUCAUUUUAUCACUCAGAGACUUCUUUUCUGUAAAACGUGAUCAAAAAGUAAGUGCGUGUGUGUGUGUUUUUUUUUUAAUUUGGUGUCAGGAUUAAUAAUUGUUCUUAUGUUACCUAUCACUAGGGGCCAACUGACUUCACCGAAACACUAAGCCGCAUAACCAUCAUGACUCUAGCCAUCACAAUCAAAACACGUGGCAUCGCAGAUGCUGAUCACCUGGUUUAUCUGCAAACCAUGUUGGAACAAGUCCUGGCGACGAGUCAGCAUACCUGGUCCGAGAAGACGCUUCGCCAUUUCCCAUCUCUUCUCCGUGACGCUUUGAUCGGACGGGUAGACAAGAGGGGCCUAUCGAUUCAGGCGUGGCAACAGGCUGAAACAACUGUGUUGAACCAGUGCACACAGCUUCUCUCGCCUGCUGCUGAACCCUCUUACGUUAUGACGUACCUCAGUCACAGUUUUCCUCAACAUCGUCAGUAUCUAUGUGCUGGUGCUUGUCUGCUUAUGCAAGGCAACCCUGAUAAGAUCAACAGCGCAAAUCUGGUUUGUUUUGCUUACUCUCUCUAUCAUGCUUCUAAAAAUCCUUUUCAAGGUAUCAACUCGGUUCUAGCCGAAACGAUUUUAUUAAACUCCGAUUUAUAUGCUUCAAAUCGGUUUAUAUAGGUUAAAAUUGAUCUAAAUUAGUCGAAAUCUGUUAAAUUAAGCUGUUAGUACAAAUCCACAAAUUUAUCUUUUUUUGUACAUUGAAUUUUGAUAAUUCAUCAUAGUUAUUUUAUAACUAAACUCAAAAACUAAAAUAUCUUAUAUAAAUGUAAUAUAUAUAUAUAUAACAAAUCAAUAAUAUGUUAAGGUCUAGGAGUCCCCGAAUAGUUUGCCUAGGCACUAGUCCUAGCAAUUUUUUGAACCUUGGUCUCUAUUCAAACUUGUGAACAGAUUUUUAUUUGAUAGUGGUAUGAUUUUCUCUUUGAAACGAUUACCAGGCACGGGUGCUGAGAGAGGUUACUCCUGACGAAGUCACUGCUAACAUAUACACUUUCGUGGAUGUCUUGCUUCACAACGUUCAUGUAGACCUUCAGCGAGGACACGGUUUAGAGGUUCUUCUUCUCUUUGUCUGAAAAGAUCGACCUCACUUUUUGUUCCUUCUUGUUAAAUUUUAUCCUAAUAUUUUGUUUCUCAGGAGAUUCUAAACAAGAACGAUGCAAAUCUUGCAUUUUUCUUCUGGACACAUGAAAUGCUUCCUCUCGACAUUUUUCUUCUAGCGCUCAUUGACCGUGAUGAUGAUCCGCACGCCUUGAUAAUUGCAGUAUGUUCCUCAUGCUUUUACCUGAAAUAAGCGUAAAGAUCAUAUUAAAGUUUACAGAUUUCUUUUCUUUUUUCCUACAGAAAAGGAUACUCGAAAGGCCAGAGCUUCUACAGAGGAUUAAUGUGUUCUGCGUAAACCGUGGGAAUCCUGAGCACUGGCUUUGCACGCAGGUGUUCAAACGCAAUGAACUCCAAAAGGCCCUUGGUAACCAUCUUUCUUGGAAGGACAACUGGUAAUGAUGUGUCUUAGACCAUUUUCAUGAGAACUUGGCAAACUUGUGUGUGGCAUUUUUCUGCUUUUUUUUUGGCUAUUUUGUGUCGCACUCUGUUAAAAUUUGGGAUUGUUUUGAUUGCUAGGUAUCCAACGUUCUUUGAUGAUAUUGCGGCACGUUUGCUUCCAGUUAUCCCACUAGUGGUGUACAGGCUCAUCGAGAACAAUGCGAUGGAUACAGCUGAUAAAAUUUUGACUGCAUACUCGAAUUUUCUGGCGUACCAUCCUUUCAGAUUCACGUUUGUCCGUGAUAUACUCGCCUAUUUCUAUGGUCAUCUCCCCGGGCAGCUUGUUGUGAAGAUUCUUAGAGUGCUUGGUCUCAGCAAGGUAAUUGAAAAACACCACCAAUCUUUCUUUGAUUCUGAAAAUCAUUGAGAAAUCAUUUUCCAUUUUUCACUGCAGAUUCCAUUCUCUGAAUCAUUCCCGCAGUACAUCACACACACCGGUCCUGCCACGUGCCCACCUUUGGAUUACUUUGCCAACCUCCUACUUAACCUCGUAAACUACGUUAUACCUCCACUCAGCAGCAGCAGCAGCCACUGUAGCUCAAGGUCUGGCUCAAUGGCCGACAUCUUAAACACCUCAUCGAGACCUCCUCACGGUAAAACACCAGGAGCAUCCCAGCCCGGACCAGCAAACGCCUCCGAGGGACAGAAAGCAUUCUACCUCAUGCUUUUACCUGAAAUAAGCGUAAAGAUCAUAUUAAAGUUUACAGAUUUCUUUUCUUUUUUCCUACAGAAAAGGAUACUCGAAAGGCCAGAGCUUCUACAGAGGAUUAAUGUGUUCUGCGUAAACCGUGGGAAUCCUGAGCACUGGCUUUGCACGCAGGUGUUCAAACGCAAUGAACUCCAAAAGGCCCUUGGUAACCAUCUUUCUUGGAAGGACAACUGGUAAUGAUGUGUCUUAGACCAUUUUCAUGAGAACUUGGCAAACUUGUGUGUGGCAUUUUUCUGCUUUUUUUUUGGCUAUUUUGUGUCGCACUCUGUUAAAAUUUGGGAUUGUUUUGAUUGCUAGGUAUCCAACGUUCUUUGAUGAUAUUGCGGCACGUUUGCUUCCAGUUAUCCCACUAGUGGUGUACAGGCUCAUCGAGAACAAUGCGAUGGAUACAGCUGAUAAAAUUUUGACUGCAUACUCGAAUUUUCUGGCGUACCAUCCUUUCAGAUUCACGUUUGUCCGUGAUAUACUCGCCUAUUUCUAUGGUCAUCUCCCCGGGCAGCUUGUUGUGAAGAUUCUUAGAGUGCUUGGUCUCAGCAAGGUAAUUGAAAAACACCACCAAUCUUUCUUUGAUUCUGAAAAUCAUUGAGAAAUCAUUUUCCAUUUUUCACUGCAGAUUCCAUUCUCUGAAUCAUUCCCGCAGUACAUCACACACACCGGUCCUGCCACGUGCCCACCUUUGGAUUACUUUGCCAACCUCCUACUUAACCUCGUAAACUACGUUAUACCUCCACUCAGCAGCAGCAGCAGCCACUGUAGCUCAAGGUCUGGCUCAAUGGCCGACAUCUUAAACACCUCAUCGAGACCUCCUCACGGUAAAACACCAGGAGCAUCCCAGCCCGGACCAGCAAACGCCUCCGAGGGACAGAAAGCAUUCUACCAGAUCCAGGACCCAGGAACCUACACUCAACUGGUUCUCGAAACAGCCGUGAUCGAGAUCCUCUCUCUACCCGUCUCCCCCGCUCAGAUCAUCUCUUCUCUUGUCCAGAUCAUCGUCAACAUUCAGUCCACACUUAUUCAUUCUGGCAACGGCUUCCACGGCGCUGCAAACGGGGUUGGGCAGGGCUCGUCAGUACUGCCUACGUCUCCCUCGGGAGGGAGCACGGACUCCAUGAGCGCGAGCCGGUCCAGCUGUAUGAACACGGCGAGCUUUGUCUCUAGAAGCGGUUAUACGUGCCAGCAGCUGUCGUGUCUGUUGAUUCAAGCUUGCGGGCUUCUCUUGGCGCAGCUCCCUCCGGAGUUUCACACGCAGCUUUACGUUGAGGCUUCGCGUGUGACGAGGGAGACAUGGUGGCUUAGCGACGGGAAGAGAUCGCAAGGUGAAGUGGACUCUGCUGUUGGCUAUGCUCUGAUGGAUCCUACAUGGGCUGCUCAGGAUAACACCUCCACCGCCAUAGGUAACAACACUAUAUAGCUUCUGAAUCCUUAGGUGAAUGGUUCUUUGUAUUUUUUGAACAUGUUAGAUUGUUGUGUGUGCUUCCAGGAAAUGUAGUCGCCUUGCUUCAUGCUUUCUUCAGCAAUCUCCCACAAGAAUGGCUUGAUGGCACCCAUCUCAUCAUCAAGAACCUCCGGCCUGUGACAUCUGUCGCAAUGCUCAGAGUCGCGUUCCGUAUAAUGGGGCCACUUCUCCCGAGGCUUGCUAACACACAUGCACUCUUUAACAAGGUACUCUAAUGAACCUCUGACUAUAUGUUUCUUUAUUGUCAAAUUUUUUUACUUUGUUAUUCUUUUCUGCUCCUCAACAGACUCUAGCCCUUCUCCUGAGCACAUUCGUCUAUAUAUGCAGCUGCUCAUCAGAAUACCGCGAAGACCAACACCUCUUAGAAAAAAUAAGAUCAGAUAAUAUUGGUUGUAUGACUUGUAUCAGUGGUGGAUGCAAAGUUGGUAGAGCGAUAGAAAGAAGCACCGAAGCUGAUACAUCUAGCAACUUAUUCACUGGUAAAUUUGGUUUGUGGUCACAACUAAUUUUAUGUGUACCUGUAUAUUAUUAUCAAUGAUAACGUUUUGUUUAUCAUUGAAGCAUAAGGAUGAGAAAGUGCAAGUCCACAACUAUUCUAAUGUCACUUUCCUUUUAAUAGUACAGAUAGCAACCAUUUCUUCAGUACACGGUACUAUCAAUUAGAACCUAUUUACUCAAACUUCCUAUUUAUUAACUAACAAAAGCAAAAACUAGCUCCCUUUUUCACAACAAUUAAAGCAUCCAAGCAGAGGAUACUGUUAAAUUUACACCAGUUAAUAGAACAACUUAAGAACUCGUACACGAAUUGAGAAUUAAGAAGAGAGUAAGUUUAUUAGGAUCAUUAUCACCUGUUUUUGGUGGACAUAUAUAUAUAUAAUCUCAAACAACACUAUAACAUUAAGUUGCAGGCAAUUUCCAAAAGCUUCAAAUGAUGUUUUAUAUACAUUGUCCUUUAUAUUAAUACAAAUUGUUGACAGCCUCAACCUCUCUCUUCACAUCACACAGCAUUUAGCUGGUCCCUUUGGAUCUGCCCUAGCUUCCUCGGUACCUGGAUAAAAAAAAGACUUUGAUUAGAAGCCUAUUGGUCCUAAGACUUAUCAUAAGCAAACACACACAAUCCAAUAAAAAAACAGCUAUUGUCAAAGUUUGUCUUUAUCAUAGAAGGAUUGUAAACCGAGUUUGGUUCUGCUAAUAUAGAAAUUACUUGCCUUCCGGGGGCUGAGCUAACUUCCGGUUAUGAGAAGUCAUCAUUUCUUUUUUCAGUUUAACCAGAAUGUCCUCCAUUGUGUAUUCUCGCCGCCAGUUAGUGAGCAUAGGGAAGAGACUCGGUUCAACCUGAGAUCAUACAAUUCCUUGUUAUAAUAAACUGAUACACAUAUACAUAAAAAACCAACAAUAUUCCACUCAUGAGAUGUCACAGAGCUUACCACUCCAGUCUCAGGGUUAACGCAGGCCAUGUUUAUCCUGGUCUGGAACUUCACACUUGGUGGACUUUCUGGGUACUCCUUACCACAGAACAACUUCAGCUGGAAGAUCUUCCCUUCGUAUGCAGUCUGAUAUUUAGUCAUAUCACCAAACAAACAUCAUCACAAUCUUCUCAAAACCAAAACAAUUUAUUUCUUUAUUUCUGUCCACCCCUCAAAAGUGGUAAGAAAAUGUAGCUGAAAUAACCAUCUGGAGUAAAGCGGCGUAAACUAAAAUUAAUGGAUCAUUUGCAGUAAAAGGUAAUUACUUUAGGGCACAAGGAUAUUACCCAAAACAUAGGGACAAAAAAAGACAUGAUUUUUAUUUUGUUUAGAGCACUUAAAAGCUUAUCUUCUACAAGUUAUUUAAACUUUGCAUGUUAAUCACUCAAACAAAGAGAAUGUAAACAAGCUAAUUACUUUAGGGCACAGAGACAUUACCCGAGAACAUGAUUUUUAAUUUUGUUAGAACAGUAAAAAAGCUUAUAUUGUUAAUUCAGACAGAGAAUGUAAAACAAGGGUUGUGAGGAGAAUACAUUAUGAGGGCCGAGAAUGGUGCCAGUCCAGGAUUGCAUAUAGAUAUCAUCAGCGUCGUCCAUUCCAUAGCUCACCGUACCAUCUCCGAUACCUUUCUCACCUCUCUCUAGCUCUUCCAACAAUCUAAAGUUCCUUGGCACUACAAAAACAAAAUUAAUUAGAAAACUUUUUUUUUUGCCUAACCAAUUUUUUUCCAGAUCAGAAACGUGGAUCCGGUCACAUUCUGUUGAUUAGGAAACCCUAGAUCCCAAAUUCAAUAGCAAUGAUUAAAAUAGAAGGGAAACGGAUCGGACAUACCAACGACUUUGGCUUCCUCCGAGCUCAUCGUAGACGGAAUCGAGAUAAGAUGAUAAGGCAAAGGAACAAUCAGAGAGAGAGAGAGAGAGAGAGUUGGAGUUUAGAAGAGAAAAGAUUGGAAGAGGUGAAAAGUUUCUGGUAGAGGGGACUCCAAUUAUUACCCGGAUCCAGGAUCCGCUUCCAUAACACUCGGAUCUACCACUGUAGAAUUUUAAAUUUAAUUUAUUUAAUUUUGGGUAUCCAUGAUCAAAUUUAUAAGUAUUUAUACAUAAAAUAACUUCUAAAACAACUUUAUUAUUUUAUUAUAUUUUAAAUUUUAUUUUAUUCGUGUUAGUAUUAUUUUCUUUAUUUUUUAAUUUUUUUAAUAAAUUUCGAUUUGAAUAUUCACAAAUAUUUCAAUGUUUGAUAUCCAAAUUUUAAAUAUUCACGAAACAAUAGAUUUAUAUUGGGAUAAUUAAAACAUGGAUCCAAAUAGAGGUUUGAAUAACAUCAAAUGUAUGAAAAUGUAUUUUCAUCUAUGCUCCAACUUGACAUGUAGAGUCAAAACUUUCAUUGCAGCAAUAUUAUUCUUGUAUUAAGACUAUGGCAGAAAGUGUUCCAGCUACCUUGUAGAAAAUUAACAUCUUAUGUAUAAAGUUAGGUUUGCUUCCCUCCUAUGCUGUUCACGUAGGCGGAUACGUCACUAAUUCGAGUCUUGAGAAGCCGAUACGUAUCCGCGUCAAAAACGCGGCGUUUCAUUAACUUGGAGUUGGAGAUCGUGUGAGCUUUUGGUGUAACUCAUAAACAUGCAUGAAUAUUUUCGUGUGGACUUUAGAUCAAAUUAAAAUAAUAAAUUUAACAGUAUACUUUUAUAUUUUAGUAAACAAACAAUGUCAUGUUAUUCGUCUUAUGAAUACAUCAUAAAAACAGCUCUUAUGAUAUUGUUGAUAUUCAAUCCGAUGAUAUACCGGUAUGACAAAUUAAUGUAAAUCAACAUAACCGAGUACCAUGAUUUUAAUUAGAUUUACAUGUGUUGAAAAUACAAUAAAAUGUUUUUAUUUAUUUUAAUGUGUAAAAUAGCCCGUAAAAACCAAAAAAAACUAGAUGAACCAAUAGGUUUAUAGUAUAUUAGUGAACGUAUAUAUAAAAUGUAUAAUAUUAUAUAGUGAAUUCAAAAUUGAAUUUACUAAUUUGAUAUACAUAUACUUAGCAUUUAACAUAUAAAUAAUGUCUUACAAAAAAAAACAUAGGAAUACUUAUUUGCCUUGCCCAUUUACAUCAAUUUAUUUUUGAAGGUCCAUGAUUUCACGAUAAAUAGUGCUCCUAUAAUUAUUUGCUUUACCAAUUUACAUCAAUUUAUUUUUUAAGGUCCAUGAUUUCACGAUAAAUAGUGCUCCUAACUUCUUCUUUUAUUUUUUUUCAAACAUAUUAUUAUAUAUUACUCCUACUUAGCUAUUUGAAUAAACAAACAUUCUGAUAUUUGAUAAUUUUGAACAUUCUCUUCGUACGGUAAACGGUUUUAUUUCAAAGUAUUAAUACACCAAUGCAAAAAUAUAUUUUACAAGAUAAUUACACGCAUCUGCAGCAUAAACUCUUUGUUAGAUACAAUCAUGAAUUCUAUAAAAAAUGUCCAUGCAAUAUUAUCAUUUAAUUUAAAUAUAUUGUUAAUUCAUAAUGCAAGUUUCCACAGUAUUAAUAACUUCUAAAUUAAUAAUAAAACCUAUCUAAUAAAUUCUAAACUUAUUUAAUAACGAUAGAACAUAUUCAAUUUAAAGAGUAGCAGGGAAGUUGAAGUAUGAUUUUCAUUAGGAGAAAACUAUCACAUUUUAAUUAAAAUAUACACAAACCAAACUACUCACACUAAUAAAAUGUUGUUUUGGCUUAGAUAAUAUAAGCUUUUUCUUAACAUAAUUAUCUGGUAUGAUCAUUGCAUAAUUAUAUGCAGACAUCAUUAAUCUUAUUAUAUUAUAUUAUUCGUCGUAGAAUAAUGAAAUUUACUGUCAUUUUAAUUCAGUCAAAAAUAUUUAUUAAAAAUAACAACAUGAUCUCCGAGUUUUAUAUAUUUAUUUUCGUUUAUAAUAUCGUUUUCAAUCUGCAAUUUUUUUUUAAAAUGCUUCAUAAAAUUAAUGUAAAUUCAUAUAAAAUAGUUUUUUUCUAACUUUCCGCCCGUAGGGCGAGCUGACCCUAGUCGUUUCUUAAAAAAGUAUAAAUAGUUAACCAAAUGUGAAAUCUUAUGGAAAUAUUUGUAUGGAAGUGGGGGUAUUCCAGACUGCGAACUGAUAGACAAUGGAUUUGACUCAUUUUCAUCCAUAGUUUAUAGGUAUUUUUACUAAUAUUUAUAUUAUUAUAGAGUCUAUUUAUUAUAUUUAUAAGAUCAUGAAUUUUUUGGAUAUAAGUGAUGAUUUUGGAGCAUUUUGGAGAUAUUUGGAGUAAGCACCCGAAAUGACCAUCGAGAUCGACAAUCAGUAGACAUUGGAGAGCUAGAAUCGAUCGAUACACAAGUCAUGGUGUCGAUCGAUAUCAAAGCGCGCAGAAAACCCGUUUGGUCACAGCCGACUUGAAGCCCAAGAUUUCACUAUUUUACAAAAUUGCCCUUGACGAGUUUUACCCUAAUUAUAUAAGCUUUGCCGCCAUGUCAGAGGCAAAGUGUACUUUCUUUGUGUUUCAUUGUUUUAUUGAUAGAUAGGAGAGAAGAUCCAAAGUUAUAAUUUGUGAUUGGAACUCCAUUGAUAUUUAUCUUAUUUAUUCUAUGAAGUUUUUAUACUUAAGUGUUGUUAUGAAUUGCUUAGUCAUGUCUGAAUAGUUCACUUGUUAGAUUUUAGGGUUUAAGUAGGUUAGGAGGGAUUGGCCCCAACUAUAAAUUGCUGAGUUGUGAUAAUCAUUUUUAGAAUUGUUCAUUAAUGCAUGUGUCUAGAUUAGCUUCCUAGAACUUGCCCUGGGAUUGAUUGAUAAAAACCAUAGCUAAUUCUCAUCCUGAAAACAUUCUAAAUGAACUUUGUUUCUUGCUAUGAGCAAGGCGAGAGCUGAUCUAGUAAGCUUAGUAAGCAUUCAUUCAACCUACGCAUAAAGCUUGACUAGAGCGCGUCGAUCAAUAUCACACUUGAAUAAUCGAUCGACGGUGCAAAAGGUGUAUCGAUCGAUACGCCCAUUUGGAAUAUCGAUCGACACUUUCUAUAGAUCAAUAUAACAAGAGUUGAGAUCAUAGAUCUAGUUAAUAGUCAACAAGUCAAUGCUCGCAAAGGCUGAAAGACUUGUUGAUCAAAUAGUUGGCUUUACAUUAUCAAGCGUGCAACUCAUUAGGCAUCUAUAGGAUUAUAAUUCCAACUUUCCUAAAUAAAAACUCUAAGUCUAGCUAUUUCCAUUUUAGCACCAAAACCCCAAAACUUGCUAAUGAACAAAUACUUGUUCAAUAUAAAACUGCAAUUUACUUUUAAAACUCUUAAAACAUCUUGCUUAACAAAUCAUAUUAGAAUCUCUAGGUUCCCUAGCUCCCUGUGAAUUCGAUCCCUAAGUAUUACAACUCGACCUCUUAUUUGAGAGAAUAUAAAUCACUCCUUUGGGUAAUUUGAGUGGUAUCAAAUUUGGCGCCGUUGCCGGGGAGCUUUGAUCGCAUGUUUUCUAAUUUUUGUUAAGUAUUCUGACAUAAAAUUUUUUCUUGGAUUUUUAGGUGCAUGCCCAACAGUACCAGAAGCAACAAGAAAUCCCAACUGAUAUUCUCACCAGAUCCUGCAAGUUUGGAACACACGAUCCGUAAGGACGCACGCUCCCUAUCGACCGACAACAACACUUUCGUGUCGCUCAAUUCUGCUCAACCACCGUCGACCCUCAAAGCGCGCAGAAAACCCGUUUGGUCACAGCCGACUUGAAGCCCAAGAUUUCACUAUUUUACAAAAUUGCCCUUGACGAGUUUUACCCUAAUUAUAUAAGCUUUGCCGCCAUGUCAGAGGCAAAGUGUACUUUCUUUGUGUUUCAUUGUUUUAUUGAUAGAUAGGAGAGAAGAUCCAAAGUUAUAAUUUGUGAUUGGAACUCCAUUGAUAUUUAUCUUAUUUAUUCUAUGAAGUUUUUAUACUUAAGUGUUGUUAUGAAUUGCUUAGUCAUGUCUGAAUAGUUCACUUGUUAGAUUUUAGGGUUUAAGUAGGUUAGGAGGGAUUGGCCCCAACUAUAAAUUGCUGAGUUGUGAUAAUCAUUUUUAGAAUUGUUCAUUAAUGCAUGUGUCUAGAUUAGCUUCCUAGAACUUGCCCUGGGAUUGAUUGAUAAAAACCAUAGCUAAUUCUCAUCCUGAAAACAUUCUAAAUGAACUUUGUUUCUUGCUAUGAGCAAGGCGAGAGCUGAUCUAGUAAGCUUAGUAAGCAUUCAUUCAACCUACGCAUAAAGCUUGACUAGAGCGCGUCGAUCAAUAUCACACUUGAAUAAUCGAUCGACGGUGCAAAAGGUGUAUCGAUCGAUACGCCCAUUUGGAAUAUCGAUCGACACUUUCUAUAGAUCAAUAUAACAAGAGUUGAGAUCAUAGAUCUAGUUAAUAGUCAACAAGUCAAUGCUCGCAAAGGCUGAAAGACUUGUUGAUCAAAUAGUUGGCUUUACAUUAUCAAGCGUGCAACUCAUUAGGCAUCUAUAGGAUUAUAAUUCCAACUUUCCUAAAUAAAAACUCUAAGUCUAGCUAUUUCCAUUUUAGCACCAAAACCCCAAAACUUGCUAAUGAACAAAUACUUGUUCAAUAUAAAACUGCAAUUUACUUUUAAAACUCUUAAAACAUCUUGCUUAACAAAUCAUAUUAGAAUCUCUAGGUUCCCUAGCUCCCUGUGAAUUCGAUCCCUAAGUAUUACAACUCGACCUCUUAUUUGAGAGAAUAUAAAUCACUCCUUUGGGUAAUUUGAGUGGUAUCAAAUUUGGCGCCGUUGCCGGGGAGCUUUGAUCGCAUGUUUUCUAAUUUUUGUUAAGUAUUCUGACAUAAAAUUUUUUCUUGGAUUUUUAGGUGCAUGCCCAACAGUACCAGAAGCAACAAGAAAUCCCAACUGAUAUUCUCACCAGAUCCUGCAAGUUUGGAACACACGAUCCGUAAGGACGCACGCUCCCUAUCGACCGACAACAACACUUUCGUGUCGCUCAAUUCUGCUCAACCACCGUCGACCCAGACACCAGUUCCGUCGACCGAUUCUCGCUCACCCCUGUCGAUCGGCAACACAAACCUUCCGUCUACCGAUACCCUCCACCCGACAUCGAUCGACAUUCCGUCUCAGAGAUCGAUCGAUACUGAACUGCGAGCAAUGGUUGCGCCUUUGAUACUUGUUCGGGACAACAAUGGAGAUCUGCAUGACCAGGAGGGUCAUCUACGUAAUGCAGCAGGUCAGAGAAUAGACGCUUAGGGGGCUGCAAUCCCUGAGCCUGAUGCUACUACUACAAGUACUACCUUACCUGUAGAUGAGGCUGCGCAACCCAGGACGUUGGCUGAUUACAACCAUCCAGAUCGCUACUACACCAACAGAUCAGCCAUCCUUCUUCCCACCAUUGAGAGGGAUUUUGAGUUGAAGGCGCAAUACUACACACUUGUGGGACAGUUGCCCUACCAUGGACUAUCCUACGAGCAUCCUAUGGACCAUCUGGAGAGGUUCGAGGAUCUGAUUUAUGCUAUUAGAGUCGAGGGAGUCUCUGAGGACUACCUAUUAUGCAAGCUUUUUAGAUAUUCACUUGCUAGAGAAGCUCUGCAUUGGCUCAAGCAGUUACAACAAGGAUCUCUUAAAUCCUGGAGCGACAUCAAGAAUGCAUUCUUAUGCAAUUUCUUUGAUGAGGCGUGUGCUGAAGACUUGAGAAGCAAGAUUGCUACAUUCACUCAGAAGCCUACAGAAUCAUUCAUAGGCCCUUGGAUCAGAUUCAAGUCUUACCAGAGAGACUGUCCACACCACAGAUUCAAUGAAGUACAACUACUCAGUACUUUCUACAGAGGCAUCGCGGUGCAAUACCAGAUGGCUCUUGAUGCUUCCAGCAAUGGAAACUUCAACACCAGGAAUCCAGAGGAGGUAGUCAAGGUGAUUGAAAACCUAGCAUCCAGCAAAAGCACCAAGAACACUGAUUUUGAGAGGAAGAGAUCUGCCACCAUCCUUGGGAAUGAUCAGAUGGAUGAGGUGAAGGCAAAACUGGACAGUGUUCACAAGCUUAUCAAAAAGCAGGUUAGCUUUGUUGAAGAUGCAGAAGCUGUAGAGGGUAGAACAGAUGAAGAAGAAGUAAACUACAUUUGUGGAGCUAGAUUCCAAGGAAACCAUGGAGGAAACAGAAACUCCUAUGGAAAUAGGAGUAACUUCAACCAAAAUUCACAAUACCAGAAACCCUACAACAACAGCUACAGCAAUAACAGAAAUUUUGGAAGUUCCUACUACCAGAAGCCACUGCCGCCUACUCAAGAGAACAAGAUUGAAGAGAUGCUCGAUAGGGUUCUUGAGGCACAACAUCGAAUGACAGUGGACUUCAAUAGGAAGAUAGAUUCUGUCUACACCAACCUGAACACAAAGUUUGAGACUUUGAGCUCUCAUGUGAAGAAGAUGGAGAUACAGGUGGUGCAGACAGGUGAUGCUAUUAGAAGGCAGGAAGCUUCAACAAGAGGAGUAGGGGAUGAUGUGAUGAAGCACCACGUGAAUGCCAUUAUUGAGGAUGACUUUUGGCAAGUGGUGAAGGAAGAGAAGCUGCAAGAAGGCGAUUUCGAGGUAGAAAGUUUGAUGAGUUUCGGCGGGUCACAUUGGUGUCGAUCGACACCAGCCACCGAGCAUCGAUCGACAUACACCAACUCAAAUCGAUCGACAGGAGUACCAGAGCAUCGAUCGACAACGCCUACGGAGUCAACCGCGUCUUGCAAUGCCGUGAAGAUUCUAACUCACGAGGAGUUCGCAGCAAAACACCCACAUCCGCCCAGCCCUGACAAAGUCCGAAUCGAUCGACAUGCCAACAACAACGUCGAUCGACACUCAGAAGCUAUUAUCGAUCGACAACCAUCACCGCCUAUUGAUUGACGAGCCCCUAUCACCUACCGAGUGCAGAUGCCGAAGAUAGAUGUGGCACGACUUAACGCACUCAGGCCCAAACCUAAACCUUCAAAACAACCACCGGAGCUUGUCAGGACACCUUCAGAUGAUGGAGAUGAUCCUAUGAAAGAGGAUAGGGUUUCUAAUUGAAGCACCCUAAGGAGAAGAAAGGAAAAAGUGGCAAAACAUCUGAAGAGGGGGGCUAAUGAAAAGGAAAAGGAAAAUUUCCAAAAGAGAGUCUUCAGGAUUCCUCUACAUAAACCAUUCGAAGAAGCUUAUUACAGCCACAGAUUGUGGAUGUUCUUCAGAGAAACCAGAGAGAAAGAAGAAGACAUUAGGAGAAUGUUCUGUGAAGCCAGAGAAAAGAUGAGGAGAAAUAUUACAUUGAAGAAGAAGAGUGAUCCUGGGUAAUUUGCAAUACCAUGCACAGUGCAGGGUAUUGAAUUCCCACAUGCCUUGUGCGACACAAGAGCAUCAGUCAGCAUCCUACCUAGGUUAUGGCAGACCAUCUGGGUCUGCAGGUGGAGCCUUCGCAAGAAUUGUUUACUUUUGUGGAUUGUUCCCAGAAGAACUCAGGAGGAAUUGUGAGAGACCUAGAGGUGCAGAUUGGUAAUGCCCUAGUUCCAGUUGAUUUCCAUGUCUUGGACAUCAAGUUAAACUGGAACUCUUCUCUACUACUUGGGAGAGCCUUCUUGUCAACAGUGGGAGCAGUGUGUAACUUGCAAACCAAUCAGUUGUGUCUAACACUCAUCGAUCCUAAUGCCCACUACGACCCUAUCCAAUCAAGAAGCCACAGGCGAUCUCCAGAAGAAUCAAUGAUCCAGGAAUCAUUGCAACUUGCCACUGUGGAGAUGAGUACGAAACUGAAUAUUCAGAAUCGAUCAAGACUCACACAGCAACAUCGAUCGAUAGUGGUCACAAGAAAUCGACCGACACUGCCGCCUAUCCAUCGAUCGACACUGACUUCAACCGUGUGCGAGAAGGAGACUACUCAAUUGGUAGUUGGGCAGAUGAACACCAUCACGAGAGCUUUGCAGUAGAAACAAUAACCUACACAACAGGAGCAGAUAAACUACAAGAUAGUUUCAUAGACGAGUAGAUGCUCAACAUGCAAAAGCGCGAUGAUACAGAUCAGUUUCCAGCAAAAGCUGCUUGGGAAAGAACUCGUUCUAGUCAAUCGAUUGACACUCGUCAUCCAAAAUCGAUCGACAAGAUUCCUCAACAAUCGACCGACAUCAACAAUACCACGUCGAUCGACAACCAUCCAAUACCGAAAACCAAUGAAAGCGAAAAAGAUAAAUCAGAUAACCAGUAUAUAACUCCAGACGAAUUUGGUAUUUUCAGGGACCCUAAUGGCUACGCAAAAGCCAUAGACGGCCGCACACUACACGUAUCUAGGGAAGAUAUUGCAGAUAUCCUUCAGACAACCAAUGGACCAGACAAUUUGUUCAUGCAUCCACGCAGCAACCGCGAACAAAAGACUACAAAGGAGUUUUAUGACGCAGAUGGUGGCAUAGAAAACAACUUCAAACAACGAUCUCACCAUACAACCCAUCCAUCGAUCAACAUAGACGUCCCAACGGUCGCCAGACAGCCAAAAUUCGGCAAAAGAGCUUAUGACCUUUAUGGUAACAUGAAAUUUUACUGGGAAGAGAAAGAUGAGUAUGGAGUCUACAGAGAUGACCGCAAAUUUGCCAGAGAUCUAGAGGGACACACCAUUCCUGUUCACACCAAGGAUAUCAGAAGACUUCUUGAAAGAGCUUCAAGAGAUGAACCAGCCUACAUAUGUCUUCCUGAACAUGCUAGCUCAUUCACACAGACACAGUGGGUACCAGAGCUCUACACAAAAGAUGAGAUCAAUGAGAUGUUCUAUGGAGUCUGUGGUGAACAUGAGAAGAACAAAGAAGCCUUCCAGAUGAAGCUUGAUGGUGUCUACUAUCCAUUGAAUGAUAUUAUAAGUUGGUUAACUACUUGCAUGGAGGAGAUGAAGAAGGACAUAGCCAGAUUUCAGAACGCGACCGACACUGCUCGACCUCCAUCGAUCGACAGACGACACUCCCAAUCGAUCGAUAGCAGACAAUCACCAUCGCUCGCCAGACGCCAUCACGAAUCGAUCGACAACCGUUUGGCCGCAUUGAUCGACACCAAUCCGCCAUGCCCACACACGAUGAAGUCUUAACCAGAUUUCCACACCAGAGAAGAUAUAGACAGUUGGUAGAAGGGAUCUAUGGAGCGCUGGAAACUAUAGAGGAGAGGCUUGAUGGGAGAUGUGAUGACAUCUAUUUCCCAAUAGAUCUUACAAUCAGUGCAUUGACCUCCAAGGUCGAAGCUAUACAAGGGGAGUUGGUGGAGAUUCAGAGUUCCAUUGCGCGUCGACCGGAAGCAUCGAUAUCCAUCGACAGACGCAACAACAAAUCGAUUGACACCAUCAAUUCAGCAUCGAUCGACAUUGAUACACACCGAGGCAGGCUAGUACCAAAGACGACAUCCGACAUGUCCAACACACUUUACCAUGGAAAAGAGAUCUCAGCUGACACUUACACCGCACUUACCAGACAUCAAUUCAACCUUGAGAGUCUUGGUGAAAGAUUGCAGAGGAUUGAAAACACAUUUGCAUCAAUGAAGGAUAAAUGGCGCAGAGGGGAUGAAGCAAUGAGAGACUUCACUGGUACAUGGUUCAACAAGAGCAAAGAAGAGAUGGAUACUUGUUUUCCAACAAGUCCCAGUUCUCAACAUUACUAGUCAAAACAUCUCCCAAGUCAAGCUAAAUGACUAUAACAAAGCGCUGAGUGGGAGGCAACCCACUAUUAGGUAAUAUUUCUUAAGUUUUUAUUAAAUUACUAUUUAUGUUGGUUUUUAAUUAUUGCAGGUCAUAAAUAAAAAAACAAAAAGAAGAUCCGAGUAGGCGAUUGCCAUCUGUAUCGACCGACGCGACCAAGUCAACAUCGAUCGACAUUAACCUACCUACGUCGACCGACAUCAACAUCUUUACAUCGUUCGACAUCUAUUCUGGUCUGGUAUAUCGUUCCUACUUGUUACAUUGAGUCCUUAUGAUUUAUUUUUCACCAUAACUCCGACUAUUUACACUGGGGACAGUGUAGUUUAAGUCUAGGGGGAGGUUUACUGAUAUUUAUUUACUUAUUAGUCUUAUUAAAAAUCUUUUCAAAUUAAGUUAUUAUUGAGUCAAGAAGGGGGAUUAUGAACUUAUAGAUUUUGCUAGAUAUCUAACAACUCUUUAGCACCAUUCUAGACUUACUGAUUGCAGAUAGUACUAAUGAUACUAAAAUGGAUCAACUUGUCAACUAUCUACUCUUGCUAAGAUUGUUUUGAAGGAACCAAAGCUGACCUCCAACACUAAACCUGACACAACUGCUUGUCUUGGGGCUUGGUAUAUAUGGGAUCGGAUUCUUCAAACAAGUCUGGAUGGUAAAGCCUUGUGUAUAUAGAUUUAUCACCUUUUCUCUCUCUAUUUUUGAAAUAUAGAUUUUAUACUUAAAAAAAAAAUAUUAUAUUAGAGAUUUAUUAGGAAGGAAUUCGAACAGGACUUGGUGGUUACAACCAUUAAGGCUUGCUUCAUAAGAAUUUCAUAGGUAAAGGAUUAGAACAAGACUUGGUGGCUACAACCAUUAAAGCUUGCUUUACAAAUAAUCAUAGGAUAUAUGUCAAAAAGAAGUGAACCGGACUUUGUGGCAAUCACCAUUAAGGCUUGAUUCAUGGAAGCCUGUCCAAUCUUGGUUAAUGAUCUUGCAUAUAAGCAGACUUUGACCAAGAGAGAAAAUUAGUAGAUAGAGAGGAUAUUAACUAAUGUUUACCUGCAGGUCCAGAUACUUGUUUGAAAAUCCUAGAAUCAUGUGAUCGAUACUCCCAAGGUAAAGCCUUCACUUUUAUUUUAUGCUAAGAAAUGAGGUUGGUAGAGGAGAAUGAAAGACAAGAUUAUGUUAAGUUGUUGGCUAGAUGAAUUUGGUUGCUAAGCUAGGAUAUGGUAUGAUGUCAAGAGAACAAGAUUGAAGAGAUGCUCGAUAGGGUUCUUGAGGCACAACAUCGAAUGACAGUGGACUUCAAUAGGAAGAUAGAUUCUGUCUACACCAACCUGAACACAAAGUUUGAGACUUUGAGCUCUCAUGUGAAGAAGAUGGAGAUACAGGUGGUGCAGACAGGUGAUGCUAUUAGAAGGCAGGAAGCUUCAACAAGAGGAGUAGGGGAUGAUGUGAUGAAGCACCACGUGAAUGCCAUUAUUGAGGAUGACUUUUGGCAAGUGGUGAAGGAAGAGAAGCUGCAAGAAGGCGACUUCGAGGUAGAAAGUUUGAUGAGCUUCGGCGGGUCACAUUGGUGUCGAUCAACACCAGCCACCAAGCAUCGAUCGACAUACACCAACUCAAAUCGAUCGACGGGAGUACCAGAGCAUCGAUCGACAACGCCUACAGAGUAAACCGCAUUUUGCAAUGCCGUGAAGAUCCUAACUCACGAGGAGUUUGCAGCAAAACACCCACAUCCGCCCAGCCCUGACAAAGUCCGAAUCGAUCGACAUGCGAACAAUAACGUCGAUCGACACUCAGAAGCUAUUAUCGAUCGACAACCAUCACCGCCUAUUGAUUGACGAGCCCCUAUCACCUACCGAGUGCAGAUGCCGAAGAUAGAUGUGGCACGACUUAACGCACUCAGGCCCAAACCUAAACCUUCAAAACAACCACCGGAGCUUGUCAGGACACCUUCAGAUGAUGGAGAUGAUCCUAUGAAAGAGGAUAGGGUUUCUAAUUGAAGCACCCUAAGGAGAAGAAAGGAAAAAGUGGCAAAACAUCUGAAGAGGGGGGCUAAUGAAAAGGAAAAGGAAAAUUUCCAAAAGAGAGUCUUCAGGAUUCCUCUACAUAAACCAUUCGAAGAAGCUUAUUACAGCCACAGAUUGUGGAUGUUCUUCAGAGAAACCAGAGAGAAAGAAGAAGACAUUAGGAGAAUGUUCUGUGAAGCCAGAGAAAAGAUGAGGAGAAAUAUUACAUUGAAGAAGAAGAGUGAUCCUGGGUAAUUUGCAAUACCAUGCACAGUGCAGGGUAUUGAAUUCCCACAUGCCUUGUGCGACACAAGAGCAUCAGUCAGCAUCCUACCUAGGUUAUGGCAGACCAUCUGGGUCUGCAGGUGGAGCCUUCGCAAGAAUUGUUUACUUUUGUGGAUUGUUCCCAGAAGAACUCAGGAGGAAUUGUGAGAGACCUAGAGGUGCAGAUUGGUAAUGCCCUAGUUCCAGUUGAUUUCCAUGUCUUGGACAUCAAGUUAAACUGGAACUCUUCUCUACUACUUGGGAGAGCCUUCUUGUCAACAGUGGGAGCAGUGUGUAACUUGCAAACCAAUCAGUUGUGUCUAACACUCAUCGAUCCUAAUGCCCACUACGACCCUAUCCAAUCAAGAAGCCACAGGCGAUCUCCAGAAGAAUCAAUGAUCCAGGAAUCAUUGCAACUUGCCACUGUGGAGAUGAGUACGAAACUGAAUAUUCAGAAUCGAUCAAGACUCACACAGCAACAUCGAUCGAUAGUGGUCACAAGAAAUCGACCGACACUGCCGCCUAUCCAUCGAUCGACACUGACUUCAACCGUGUGCGAGAAGGAGACUACUCAAUUGGUAGUUGGGCAGAUGAACACCAUCACGAGAGCUUUGCAGUAGAAACAAUAACCUACACAACAGGAGCAGAUAAACUACAAGAUAGUUUCAUAGACGAGUAGAUGCUCAACAUGCAAAAGCGCGAUGAUACAGAUCAGUUUCCAGCAAAAGCUGCUUGGGAAAGAACUCGUUCUAGUCAAUCGAUUGACACUCGUCAUCCAAAAUCGAUCGACAAGAUUCCUCAACAAUCGACCGACAUCAACAAUACCACGUCGAUCGACAACCAUCCAAUACCGAAAACCAAUGAAAGCGAAAAAGAUAAAUCAGAUAACCAGUAUAUAACUCCAGACGAAUUUGGUAUUUUCAGGGACCCUAAUGGCUACGCAAAAGCCAUAGACGGCCGCACACUACACGUAUCUAGGGAAGAUAUUGCAGAUAUCCUUCAGACAACCAAUGGACCAGACAAUUUGUUCAUGCAUCCACGCAGCAACCGCGAACAAAAGACUACAAAGGAGUUUUAUGACGCAGAUGGUGGCAUAGAAAACAACUUCAAACAACGAUCUCACCAUACAACCCAUCCAUCGAUCAACAUAGACGUCCCAACGGUCGCCAGACAGCCAAAAUUCGGCAAAAGAGCUUAUGACCUUUAUGGUAACAUGAAAUUUUACUGGGAAGAGAAAGAUGAGUAUGGAGUCUACAGAGAUGACCGCAAAUUUGCCAGAGAUCUAGAGGGACACACCAUUCCUGUUCACACCAAGGAUAUCAGAAGACUUCUUGAAAGAGCUUCAAGAGAUGAACCAGCCUACAUAUGUCUUCCUGAACAUGCUAGCUCAUUCACACAGACACAGUGGGUACCAGAGCUCUACACAAAAGAUGAGAUCAAUGAGAUGUUCUAUGGAGUCUGUGGUGAACAUGAGAAGAACAAAGAAGCCUUCCAGAUGAAGCUUGAUGGUGUCUACUAUCCAUUGAAUGAUAUUAUAAGUUGGUUAACUACUUGCAUGGAGGAGAUGAAGAAGGACAUAGCCAGAUUUCAGAACGCGACCGACACUGCUCGACCUCCAUCGAUCGACAGACGACACUCCCAAUCGAUCGAUAGCAGACAAUCACCAUCGCUCGCCAGACGCCAUCACGAAUCGAUCGACAACCGUUUGGCCGCAUUGAUCGACACCAAUCCGCCAUGCCCACACACGAUGAAGUCUUAACCAGAUUUCCACACCAGAGAAGAUAUAGACAGUUGGUAGAAGGGAUCUAUGGAGCGCUGGAAACUAUAGAGGAGAGGCUUGAUGGGAGAUGUGAUGACAUCUAUUUCCCAAUAGAUCUUACAAUCAGUGCAUUGACCUCCAAGGUCGAAGCUAUACAAGGGGAGUUGGUGGAGAUUCAGAGUUCCAUUGCGCGUCGACCGGAAGCAUCGAUAUCCAUCGACAGACGCAACAACAAAUCGAUUGACACCAUCAAUUCAGCAUCGAUCGACAUUGAUACACACCGAGGCAGGCUAGUACCAAAGACGACAUCCGACAUGUCCAACACACUUUACCAUGGAAAAGAGAUCUCAGCUGACACUUACACCGCACUUACCAGACAUCAAUUCAACCUUGAGAGUCUUGGUGAAAGAUUGCAGAGGAUUGAAAACACAUUUGCAUCAAUGAAGGAUAAAUGGCGCAGAGGGGAUGAAGCAAUGAGAGACUUCACUGGUACAUGGUUCAACAAGAGCAAAGAAGAGAUGGAUACUUGUUUUCCAACAAGUCCCAGUUCUCAACAUUACUAGUCAAAACAUCUCCCAAGUCAAGCUAAAUGACUAUAACAAAGCGCUGAGUGGGAGGCAACCCACUAUUAGGUAAUAUUUCUUAAGUUUUUAUUAAAUUACUAUUUAUGUUGGUUUUUAAUUAUUGCAGGUCAUAAAUAAAAAAACAAAAAGAAGAUCCGAGUAGGCGAUUGCCAUCUGUAUCGACCGACGCGACCAAGUCAACAUCGAUCGACAUUAACCUACCUACGUCGACCGACAUCAACAUCUUUACAUCGUUCGACAUCUAUUCUGGUCUGGUAUAUCGUUCCUACUUGUUACAUUGAGUCCUUAUGAUUUAUUUUUCACCAUAACUCCGACUAUUUACACUGGGGACAGUGUAGUUUAAGUCUAGGGGGAGGUUUACUGAUAUUUAUUUACUUAUUAGUCUUAUUAAAAAUCUUUUCAAAUUAAGUUAUUAUUGAGUCAAGAAGGGGGAUUAUGAACUUAUAGAUUUUGCUAGAUAUCUAACAACUCUUUAGCACCAUUCUAGACUUACUGAUUGCAGAUAGUACUAAUGAUACUAAAAUGGAUCAACUUGUCAACUAUCUACUCUUGCUAAGAUUGUUUUGAAGGAACCAAAGCUGACCUCCAACACUAAACCUGACACAACUGCUUGUCUUGGGGCUUGGUAUAUAUGGGAUCGGAUUCUUCAAACAAGUCUGGAUGGUAAAGCCUUGUGUAUAUAGAUUUAUCACCUUUUCUCUCUCUAUUUUUGAAAUAUAGAUUUUAUACUUAAAAAAAAAAUAUUAUAUUAGAGAUUUAUUAGGAAGGAAUUCGAACAGGACUUGGUGGUUACAACCAUUAAGGCUUGCUUCAUAAGAAUUUCAUAGGUAAAGGAUUAGAACAAGACUUGGUGGCUACAACCAUUAAAGCUUGCUUUACAAAUAAUCAUAGGAUAUAUGUCAAAAAGAAGUGAACCGGACUUUGUGGCAAUCACCAUUAAGGCUUGAUUCAUGGAAGCCUGUCCAAUCUUGGUUAAUGAUCUUGCAUAUAAGCAGACUUUGACCAAGAGAGAAAAUUAGUAGAUAGAGAGGAUAUUAACUAAUGUUUACCUGCAGGUCCAGAUACUUGUUUGAAAAUCCUAGAAUCAUGUGAUCGAUACUCCCAAGGUAAAGCCUUCACUUUUAUUUUAUGCUAAGAAAUGAGGUUGGUAGAGGAGAAUGAAAGACAAGAUUAUGUUAAGUUGUUGGCUAGAUGAAUUUGGUUGCUAAGUUAGGAUAUGGUAUGAUGUGCUAUUGUGAUUAGGAUUUUUUAGAUGUGGAUUGCAAUAUUGUAGAGGUGAUGAUUCUAAGUUUUAAACCAUGUGAUCCCUGCUGUUCUAAAACCUCUUUCAGAGAGACUGCUUGUUUGUUUUGCUUGAGGAUAAGCAAAAUGAUAAGUCUGGGGGAGUUGAUAGACUAUGGAUUUGACUCAUUUUCAUCCAUAGUUUAUAAGUGUUUUUACUAAAAUUUAUAUUAUUAUAGAGUCUAUUUAUUAUAUUUAUAAGAUCAUGAAUGUUUUGGAGAUAAGUGAUGAUUUUGGAGCAUUUUGGAGAUAUUUGGAGCAAGCACCCGAGAUGACCAUCGAGAUCGACAAUCGGUCGAUAUUGGAGAGCUAGAAUCAAUCGAUACACAAGUCAUGGUGUCGAUCGAUAGCAAAGCGCGCAGAAAGCCCGUUUGGUCACAACCGACUUGAAGCCCAAGAUUUCACUAUUUUACAAGAUUGCCCCUGACGAGUUUUACCCUAAUUAUAUAAGCUUUGCCGCCAUGUUAGAGGCAAAGUGUGCUUUCUUUGUGUUUCAUUGUUUUCUUGAUAGAUAGGAGAAAAAUCCAAAGUUAUAAUUUGUGAUUGGAACUCCAUUGAUAUUUAUUUUAUUUAUUCUAUGAAGUUUUUAUACUUAACUGUUGUUAUGAAUUGCUUAGCCAUGUUUGAGUAGUUCUCUUGUUAUAUUUUAGGGUUUAAAUAGGUUAGAAGGGAUUAGCCCCAACUAUAGAUUGCAGAGUUGUGAUAAUCAUCUUUAGAAUUGUUCAUUAAUGUUUGUGUCUAGAUUAGCUACCCAGAACUUGCCCUAGGAUUGAUUGAUAAAAGCCAUAGCUAAUUCUCAUCCUGAAAACAUUCUAAAUGAACUUUGUUUCUUGCUAUGAGCAAGUUGAGAGCUGAUCUAGUAAGUUUAGAAAGCAUUCAUUCAACCUGCGCAUAAAGCUUGACUAUAACGCGUCGAUCGAUAUCACACUUGAAUAAUCGAUCGACGGUGCAAAAGGUGUAUCGAUCGAUGUUAGAGGCAAAGUGUGCUUUCUUUGUGUUUCAUUGUUUUCUUGAUAGAUAGGAGAAAAAUCCAAAGUUAUAAUUUGUGAUUGGAACUCCAUUGAUAUUUAUUUUAUUUAUUCUAUGAAGUUUUUAUACUUAACUGUUGUUAUGAAUUGCUUAGCCAUGUUUGAGUAGUUCUCUUGUUAUAUUUUAGGGUUUAAAUAGGUUAGAAGGGAUUAGCCCCAACUAUAGAUUGCAGAGUUGUGAUAAUCAUCUUUAGAAUUGUUCAUUAAUGUUUGUGUCUAGAUUAGCUACCCAGAACUUGCCCUAGGAUUGAUUGAUAAAAGCCAUAGCUAAUUCUCAUCCUGAAAACAUUCUAAAUGAACUUUGUUUCUUGCUAUGAGCAAGUUGAGAGCUGAUCUAGUAAGUUUAGAAAGCAUUCAUUCAACCUGCGCAUAAAGCUUGACUAUAACGCGUCGAUCGAUAUCACACUUGAAUAAUCGAUCGACGGUGCAAAAGGUGUAUCGAUCGAUCACGCCCAUUGGAAUAUCGAUCGACACUUUCUAAAGAUCAAUAUAACGAGAGUUGAGAUCAUAGAUCUAGUUAAUAGUCAACAAGUCAAUGCUCGCAGAGGCCGAAAGACUUGUUGAUCAAAUAGUUGAGUUUUACAUUAUCAUGCAUGCAACUCAUUAGGCAUCUAUAGGAUUAUAAUUCCAACUUUUCUGAAUAAAAACCAUAAGUCUAGCUAUUUCCUUUUUAAGCACCAAAACCCCAAAACUUGCUAUUGAACAAAUACUUGUUCAAUAUAAAACUGCAAUUCACUUUUAAAACUCUUAAAACAUUUUGCUUAACAAAUCAUAUUAGAAUCUAGAAGUUCCUUAACUCCCUGUGAAUUCGAUCCCUAAGUACUACAACUCGACCUCUUAUCUGAGAGAGUAUAAAUCACCGCAAUUUGAGUGAUAUCACGAACAUGUCAUUUUGUUAAUACAUAUCAUGCUAUUUAUUGAACUGUUCAACAAUUGAGUAUAGUUUCUCGUAACAAAGUAACCAACACAAGAACGCAAUAUCCUUAUAAAUAGAACUCGUAAGAAAACUACAACUAGUGAAAACUACUUUAACUAGAGAUAUUUUUUUUCAUUACAGUUUUUUUUUUUUCGUCUCAAAUCCGAACAUAUAAUCUUUUGUUUAUUUCAAAAUCAACAAACCAAAACUAAUAAAAGCCCAUAGAGCUCCGACUAUUUAACAAGUAUGAUUAUCAUUCUUCAGCAGUCAAUUAUACUCAGGGAUCAUACGAUUUGCUGCUGUUCUUGAUUGUGUUUUUUUUGUUGUUUGAUGAUGACGCUAUGCUUGGAGAAAAUAAGCAACCCAUGGCUCGUGAUGGUGCUAACUUGUCAAACCACGAAACUAACAACUUCGACUUUGGUUUCCGGUUUGACGGUUUUUCUUGGUCUGGUUCGGACGAUGAUGGCGGCAUUAAAUCAAUAGAGGCAGACGAAGCUGAGCUAGUUCUUGAUUUCUCUUUAGAAAGUAGCUUCACUGCUUGUGUUGUUGUUGUUGGCGGCGACAAAACCUUACCAUCUCGAGAUUUUACACUCUGGUCGCGUUUGAUACUUCCCGAGAAAACCCGAGUUCCGUCAACAGAUGAAACCAACGGACGAGAAUGCACACUCGGAACAUGUCUGAUUCUUCCGGAGAAGUUCCUUUUCUCAUCAACGGAAAAAGCAGAAGCAGAAAACGCGUUUACGUGAUUCUUCUCGGCCAUGCUCUUGGAGUGGAAGAGAAGCCUCUUGGACGAUGAAACCGGGUUGGGUUGUCGAGAAACCGGGAGAGAUUUGAGACGGCGGAAACGAGUUUCGAGAUUAGUGGGAAGAGCAGAAUCGGUGAAGCCAGCAAGGUUGAUGGCGGCGACUUGCUCAAGAUCGUAGAGAUCCUUGGCCUGUGAAAGAAGAUCCUCCACAGCUGAAGCGUCUUUACUAGAAAGAUAUCUGAAACUCGACAUUAUCGUUUUUUUCUUUUUUUUCUUUUUGCGAUUCUGUGAGGUUUUCUAAGAAGGAACGAUGAAUUAAGCUUCUUCUAAUACCCAGCACAACGGCUACUUCAUGCUUUUAUCGUUGCAUUUGUCCUUUUUCAUGCAUUUAUAAAAUGUUAAAUUUCCUUUUUUGUCCGCAAAAGAUAUGUUAAAUGUCCAUGUUCAUACGUUACAAGUUAAUGUACAUAUAAGUAUUUUUUUGCUACGUGGAAUUGUAAACUUUUAUCUCCGAAGAUUUCCCUUUGCUUUUUUAUCCUUUUACCCAAUUCCAAUAAUUGAUUUAUUAAGUUUAUACCUUUCCUCUUGCCAUAUACAUUAUACUUGCCUGUAUAAAUCCAUUUGCAUCCAAUAAAAUGUUUAUCUAAUGUCAAGUGUUCAACUAUCUAUGGUUUGUUUAGUUCAAGGCGUCUUUUUCCAGUUUUCUGUAACAAAUUCAAAACAAAAAGUUUAUCUUCAAAUAAAUGGUUUUGAUUUAAAUAUAAUAACAUAUUAGCUUUUACAAUAACUAGUACAAAACCAAAGACUAAACGUUCACCAUUUUUUAUGAAGAGUAUUAAAACUUUCAGUUUCUUCUCAAAGCUUCAGGCUUCGUAGGCAUUGCCUCAUGUCUCCAUCCUCUUGAUCAACCUGAAAGACGUUAAAAAAAAGAAGAUUUCGAAAAUCCUAGACAUUAAGUAUAUAUGCCCAACAUAUAAUAAUAGUACACACAUUUGCAGAGUUAAUUUUUGGGUUAGUGAAAACUAUGUGUGUUUAAUACAAAAUCAUGAUGGUUACAAUUUAAAAAUCACAAUAAACGCAAGAAAAAGAUGGAUGGAGAAAAAGACUUUUGAUACGAUACCGUUUUAGUUCACAUAUCAUUGGGCCUAAAAAUCCAUAAGGCCAAAGUUAUUAUCGUGCACAUUAAAAAGCCCAAAACACACAAAACAUUUCUUGCGAACCUCUUUUAUAAAACCCUAGCCGUUCAGUCCCUAUAAAAGCCGAACUCCAAACUUCUCAGGAAAAACCUAGCAGUAGAUCUAACGAAAUGGCGACGGCGUUGAAGAAGAACAGGAAGAAGAGGGGCCACGUCAGCGCCGGUCACGGACGUAUCGGGAAGCACCGCAAGCAUCCAGGAGGUCGCGGUAACGCGGGAGGUAUGCAUCACCACCGUAUCCUCUUCGACAAGUACCAUCCAGGUUACUUCGGAAAGGUGGGUAUGAGGUACUUCCACAAGCUCCGCAACAAGUUCUACUGCCCCAUUGUCAACCUCGACAAGCUCUGGUCUCUCGUCCCCGAGGAUGUGAAGGCGAAGUCCACCAAAGACAAGGUGCCGAUGAUCGAUGUGACGCAGCACGGGUUCUUUAAGGUUCUUGGGAAAGGUCAUUUGCCUGAGGGCAAGCCUUUCGUUGUGAAGGCUAAGCUUAUCUCCAAGACUGCUGAGAAGAAGAUCAAGGAGGCUGGUGGCGCCGUCGUGCUCACUGCUUAAGUUAGGUCGAGUUUCUUUUUUUUUUUUUUUAAUUUCUGUCUUUUGGAAUCGUUUUUGUUGGACUCAAAGUUUGUUGCUUUUUGGAAUGAGAGAUCUUUUAAUUAAUAUUAAUGGAUUUUAUAAUAGUCGUUCGGAGUUUGAUUGUGGUAUUGAUGUGUUUUUUUUCGAAUGUUUGGGAUAGAUUGUUCACUUGUUUCAUUGAGUUGUUGAUUUGAUUCAUGGACGCCCAUGGGGAAGACACUUGUGUUAGUUCAUUGCUUUCUAUGCAAGUUUUAACUUGUUUGGUCUUCAUAUAGUUUACAUGGAAAGGAUUGUUUUUUUUGGAUUUUUUGAAUUUAUUCUUCACUGGUUUCAUGGAUUUUCUUAGGGAUCAUUGCAUUGUAAAUUUCUGUGCUUUCCCGUUUCAUUUCCACGCUGAGGCUCAUUUCUCGUGCAGUCUUCUUCUGUGUCAGUUCCUUGCUUGCUGUCUUCUCAGUUGUGAAAUGAGUCAUUACAGACUGUAUUAGCUCAUUGUUUGCUAUGCAAGUUAGGUUGGUUUCGUCUUCAUAUAGAUCUUUGUAUGUGUAAACAUUAUUAGGUCGGUAUAAAUGGUGACGAAGUAACAACUGGUAAUAAUGCAUUCCCUAAUGUUCCUAAAAAAAAAUUUACCAUUCACAAGGAAUAAUAAUUUCCUCUCAUUCUUUUUUUUUUUAGAGAAUUGAACAAUAAAAUUAUUCCUAUUUAAAUUUGAGAAGGAACAAUCAUUUCUUUUCAUUGCUGCUAUUUUAUUUUUGUACAUUAUUUUUCUGUUUGUUUUUCUUGUUUUCCAAUGGUCACCAGUCAGAUGUUUCUUAGUGUCACAUUUUAUGUUAGAUUUUUAUAUAUAUAUAUUUUUUCCUAAUGAUGAUGAGAGGCACUCUGUUAAUAGCGAAACUACAAUGCUUCAAUGAUCCUACUUUGAUUGUUUUCAUCACCUCAAUAGUAUCACCUUCACGUUUUAUCUCAAUAUCAUCUCUGCGACAAUUAUCUUUAAGUACACACAAAAUUUCAGAUCCAGUCCUGGUUGUGUAAUGUACCUAACAGCAAGCCAAAUGCCACCAUGAUUCGCCAUCCGAGUAUGUUCACGCUGUAAUUAAACCAUUAGUUCUCUUAUUACCUGAAAUGAAAGCCCCAUAGGGACUACUAAGAACUCACCAUAUUUGAAGGAGCAGCCACAUAGACUUGAGGGUUCAUUGGGUAACACGCAAACAGUCAACGCCAUGAAGUACCAAACCUCUAGUCUGAAACCAAUAACAUAAGUCACUGAAACCCUUCAUCGAUGAACCAUUCUGAAAGGUUUUGAUAUCUCACCAAACCAUGACCGCAGAGGCAAGUUAGAGUUUUGUGAAGCCUCUGAGAUUCUUGAAAGCCUUCCAUUAGAGCCCUGACCAAGCUCUGCCACAAAAAGCUCCACAGAUAUAAACUAUCUGAGCUCCAUCUAUUAAUCACCACGACAUAUUCAGCCCGACAGCUCCUCCAGCCAUUCCCCAACCGAGUUUCAGCAUCAGUAACCAACUCAACUCAAUACAGCAUGCUAAAACAGCAUGGUCGCUGCUAUAGCCGCCAUUGCAACCACUUUGGUUUGCGCCUAUAACAAUAAACUCAUGCAAAUUAGUGUAAGUUAUAAGAAAACAGUAUUUGAGCUAAACUAAGUUGAAUCUUCAAGUAACUAUCGUUACCUGCAAGAACUUGGGGUUGGCGAAGUUGACGGCGUAAGCAAAGAGCUGAGGGAUCAUCCCAGAGGGAGAAUUUUCGGGCGGCUUUGGAGAUCUCAGCUGGGGACUGUCCGAGGAGACUCAAAAGUGGAGUGGCAGAAACGUAUAAAGGCAAAUUAAGAAGAAAGGAAAAAGUGUUAAGGAUGAUCCAAGAUUUUUGAAGAUAUAUCCCCAUCAUCUCUAGUUGCCCUGCUCCAUAUGCUUGCCCACAUAUCGUCGCCUCUCGCCAGUGUACUUCCCAAUGGGUAAUAUACGUAUAAGAAAUUUACGUAUUAAAGUGAGUAAUAUAUAUUUCUUUUAAGAAAAUCAGCAAUUGAUAUGACCACACAAACACAUGUUAAUUAAUCGGAGGGAUAUCGUUUUAAUGUGAAAUAAUGGAAACUUUUAUUUUUUACAAUCUCACUGAUGGAUGAAACGAAGAAGAAAUUGUUGAGUAUGAAAAUAAAAGGAAGAAUUAUUUAUUCAGCAAGGUCUGCCAAGAUCAAUGUUAGCAAGGCUUGCCAAAAAAAAUAAGCAAGCGAGCAUGAACAUUACACGCAGGACUACAGUAAAAACAGACAGAUAUUUUAUUGUAGCUUCCCUAGUCAGCCAAGUGUGUUUGGUUUCUUGUGUAAGACAGUUCUGGUUUAUUUUUUUUUUCUUUCUUAUAAUCUAUUGUAAUGAUACUUUUCAGAUCUAAGAAAAGAGGAGUUCUCUUUCUUCAUUUUCUCUUGACUCUCUCUCUCUCUCGUUCUCCCUUGUUCUCUUCAUUCUCUAUUUUUUUAAAUCAACCAUACUUUGUUACUUCAUUACUCUCACAUCAUAAUCUAUCAUUUCUAACACUCAUGGUGUUGUAACUAAGUCGCAUCUGAUUUGAUUUGAAUUUCGAUUUCUUAAUUCCUUUGGUGUAUUGUUUUGUAUUCAGUUUCAAGUUUUGUAUUAUAUUUCUAUCUGGUUCAUGUUUAAUCUCCAUAUAAUAUAUGUACUAGGUUAAAACCCGCACCUUGAUUGGGAUAAAUAUUAUAUAUAUAAAUAAGUUUUAUUUAAAAUUAAGUUGUCAAUGUUGGUUCAAAGUUUUUAUCAAAAAAAAAUUAUUCAAAGUAAAUUUCAAAAUUAAAAUAUUUAUGUAUUUUAUGCGGUAUAUAGUUUAAUUUAAAGUGAUAUAUAUAUAUAUAUAUAUAUUUUAAUCUUAAUAAUUAAUUAAUUUAGACUUUUAUUUAUAUGAUUUUGUAAUCAUUUGUAUUUUUUCAUAAAAAAUUUUAAACCAUGGAUCCCAAAAUUUGAAUGUGAGACUUUUAGCAAUAUUAGUAAUUCAUAGUCCGUCUUUUAUAAAAAUUCAAAAUAUAAAUAUACAGAAAAAAUUAAAUUUUUAUUAUAUGGUUAACGUGGUUAUUUAAUUUAUUUUAAUAGUUUAAAAUUAAACAAACAUGAUAGCAAAAAGACUAAUUUUUAUCAAAUAUUUAUUAUUCAAAAUCAUUAAUGCCAUAUAUAUUUUUGUUUCAUUAGACAAUUUCGUAAUUUUUAUUUAAGAAAAUAACAAAGAACAUUUAUAAUGAAUUUAUAGUUAGUUUAUUAAAAUCUUAUUAUAUAAUUAGAUAGACAAACAUAUUUAUCUAAUGAUUAUAAGAAUCAUCUUAGUAAUAACAUGUGACUACAAAAAAAAAAGUUGUAAUGUUUCUCAAUUAAUAUAUAGGGAAUAUUGAUAUUACUUAAUAAACAUACAUAAUUCUUAAAAUUAACAACAAGUUGAUGAAAUAAUUUUUUUUGUAAAUUUCAUGUUUUCUGGUGUGAUUUCCUAAGCUAACAAGGAGAAGAAUGGAUUGACAUAAACCGUGUGGUACUAGGAUUCUACAAAAAGACAUAUAAAUAAAUUGCUAGCGAUUGGCUUCUUGCAAUCUGGGAUAAACAAAGAGAUAGAGAAAAGCAAUAUCAAUACAAAAGAGCUAAGAGUUUUUGGUUAAAACCUCGUGAUCUCUAUUAUUAGCUAGGUUUGCUCGUGAGAAAAGAUCUUAAACAUGGCUAACAAAGCUGCAACUUGUCAAGAAAUUAAAGAAAAAGUUUGUGAAGACAGGAUUAGUGUUUUACCUGAUGCGUUACUUGUGCAAAUAUUGUUGCUUCUUCCGAUUAAAGAAGCAGUAGCCACAUCGAUUUUGUCAAAACCAUGGCGUUGCAUCUGGACGUUGAUGCCUAAACUCGUUUGCAAGGAUACCAAGCACACAAACAGCAAAAGCGUCUGGUGGUUUUUUGAACAGUCAUUGCAACUUCACAAGUCACCUAUACUAGAACAUCUAGAAGUUAAACUCGGUUCAAGAUGUCCAGCUGACGUAGAUGUCGGAAAACUGAUUUUAAAAGCUGUUGAACGCAACAUUCGAUUGCUAGACUUCAACCUAAAGUGGUCAGCAAAGCCUAUAAGCUUGCCUAAGACACUUUAUACUUGUAAAACGCUCAAGAAAUUGAUUCUCUCAAACAAGAUUCUCAUAGAGCUUCCUUUUGAAGCUUUCCUCCCCUCGCUUAUUAAACUGGAGCUUUUCAAUGUGGCGUAUAAAGACGAGGGUUCACUUAUUAGGCUUUUAUCAAGUUGUCCUGUUCUCAAAACUUUGAUUGUGGUCCGAGAGAAGAAUGACAAUGUGAUCAAGUUCAGUGUGAAAGUGCCUUCUUUAAAUAGUUUAGUUUAUAUUAAUAAUAAUGAUGACGAUGGAGUAUGUGGUUGUGGUUGUAGUAGUAGUAGUGGGUCUUUGAUUAUAGAUUCCCCACAGUUGAAGUAUCUUCGCGUCAAUGAUUUUUCUGAAGAUGGUUGCUCGAUAGAGAGUAUGAGUCCUAACCUUACCAUGGCCAGAGUAGACGUUGGUUCUCCCCCUAAUGAAAAUUUCUUGACAUAUCUUUCUUCUGUCAAGUUUCUCCAUAUGACUUGGAUCGAUGAAACGGUAAGUUUCCCUCUCUCAGUUUUGUGAUCACAUCGUUGCAUCUAAUUAUGUGAAACUGUUUACAGGAAGUAUUCUGUAGUUGCGUCAACUACUCUCAACUGAUAGAGUGUAUGCUACGUCCAUGUCGCGCGGAAUAUUGGGUAGAAUCAGUUAUGCUGUUGCUUGACAACUCUCCUAAUCUUAAAGUUCUUAUGAUCGACACUGUAAGUAUACUCCCUCAAGCAGGUUUUGAUUUUUAUUAUGCGUUUAUUAAAUUUAUACAUAGUAUUUUUUUUUUUUUUUUUUGUUGUUUCUCAGAAGGGCAUAGGUGAAUCCGAUGAUCUCCGUCGUUGGAGUUAUGUUCCAGAGUGCUUGUCGUCUCAACUCGAGAUUUUGGAAUGGAAAAAAUAUGGAGGGACGAGAGACGAGAAGCAGCUCUUGGAGUAUAUCCUUGCAAGCUCCAAGUGUUUGAAGAGAGCAGGAAUCUCCAUGAGGUAUAGCAAGGACUGCAAUGAUAAAAUGAAAAAGAAGUUGAGGAAAGAGUUAAAAUCCAUGCCUAGGGCUUCAGUAUCUUCUGAGCUUUUGUUUCCUGCUAAAUUUAAAUGGAGAUCAUCAGUGGCACAACAUUGUCUUUUUGACCUGUUUUAGUUUUACAUUGGUUGACUAGACAAGUGCUUGUGAAUUUUAGUUUUGGUUCGUUAUCUUUCUUUCUUUUUAAUUGAUUUUUGCAGUGACAUUUAGUCCGGUUUUCAACAAAAGUCUUUCUCUUCUUCAAUUCAGCUCAAGAAAAUAUUCCAUAUUCUUUUCUUCAAUUUAACUGCAUAAUCUCAAAUAUAUACCUUACCACAAAAAGAAAAGAUUUUAUAUCAGUUUGCAAAAAAUAUAUAUAUAUAUAUAUAUUUUAAGUAGAGGCAGAGAGAGUUUAUAUAGAUAGAGAAGAGAGUGUACUACAGAGAUUUAGCUUUUUAAAGAGUGUAGCAGAAACACAAUAGUUGUUCCAUCAUCAUCAUAACAAGAAGAAAGAAGUAAUCACAUUCUGGAAUAACCAAAACUAUUCUCAUACUGAGUCAUGAACUCGUCGUUGAACUUCUUGAAGCUGUCCAUGAUCUCUGGCAUCUCUUCUUCCGCAGGUAAGAUUGUUGUCCUCAGAUGGAACACACUGUCAAAAAAAUAAGAAUCGAGUUAUAAACAUCAAAAAUAAAUAAACGAAAAUUAAUUCUUAGUUGUUUGUUUGUACCCUUCUUUCUGUCCAAAUCCAGAGCCAGGCACUGUGGAGAUUCCUGUGGCUUCUAAGAGCUUUAGACAGUAGAAAACGUCUGGCACUUUUCCUGCUUGUUUAGCAGCUUGAAGAGCUCCCGGUGGUAACUUUAUUUGAGGAAACGAAUACAUUGCACCUUACAUAUAUUAUAUACACACAUGAAUCAACAACAAGAUGCAUUCAUGUCUUGAUGUUUAUGGUUCUUUGGUUAUUACCUUCCGUGAAAUUGCAAACAACGUUUUUGCAGCUGUUGAAUCCAUCAGUCAUGAUCUUUGCCCUUCUUCUCAAAGAUUCAAGAAUCCCCUUGCUACAAAAUGGGGGAUAUUAUCAAUGAUUCAAUCCAGGGAUGAUGCUUAAGUGGCUUUUAUGUAUAUAUAUACCUGUGGGAAAAAAAGAAAGAAGAAGAAGUAUAUAUACCUUUCACGGGCGAACUGGUCAUAUGAAAUGUCUCCAGGCUUUGGAGGACUAACCAUCAAACCCAUCUGCAUCAUUCAUACCACUCUCAAUACAAUUCAAAUGAUUUCUGCAAAUACAAAUCCACAUUAGUUUAAGUCUUUUUUGACUUACAAAGAUCUGUGCAGAGACAUUCGGGCUCAGGGCGAUUGAUGCAACCUUGUAUAUCUCUUCAACAACCUGCAUAAUCAAGAAACCAUAGUAAAUCAAUGAUCAUGUUAUGUUUUGACACCUAACAUAAUUAGCUUUAAAGCAGAGAGGUUUAAAGACAAAACCCUGGGAGGGAAGUUGGUCAUCUCAAAGUAUCCACCUCGCUGUCCACAUUCUCCCCAAUAACCUUUAGAAACAGUGUGGAAAGAUACAAGCUGGACUUCCUUGCUGAACGGCGAACCCAUAUCCAUCAGAACCUUUUUUUUUUUUAUAAACAAGAAUGUUCAAUGUUAAAUGAAUGAUCACAAGUUUCACUGAAACAUGAAAAGCAAAGAUAGAAGCUGACCUUCUUGGAGCUGAUAAAAGGACGCUCAUCCUGGUAUAUGUUCUGCUGAUAAACCUCAUCUCCCAGAAGAACCAACUUCUCGCUGUGACAGAACCGCAAGAUCUCUCUUAAGUUAGCUUCGCUUAGACACUGACCAGUUGGGUUCCCAGGGUUAAUGAUCACCAUUGCCCUUACCUGUAUACCCACAUUCAAGAAAAAUCAGUACCUGCAUUGAUAAUUGCAAGAGAAGAAGAAGAUUGCUUACUGAUAUUCCUUGAGAACGAGCCUGAGCAACGGAUUGGCGAAGGUUAUUAACAUCAAGCCCCCAGUUUUCAGACUCAUCGAGAUAGUAAGGAACAAGAGAACCGCCUAAGAGUGAUAUGGUAGCUGAGUAGAGUGGAUACUGUGGAACCGGAACUAGAAUCUGCAAAAAACGGGAUAAAUGAAAGAAGUGUCACGUCAGGAGUUAAAAUAUCAUAGCAGAUAACUAUAAGACUUUCUUGGAGGAAGAGAGAGCAUUUACCCCGUCUCUCUCACCGCGUAUAACACAGUUCAAGAUCUGCAUCACACCUUUACGGUGGCUCGAAUCUGCGACUCCUUAGAAACACCAAUUGAGUUGAUUGUUAGGUAUUGCACCAUCUUCUUAGCCACCUCUAUGUCCUUCACUAACGCCCAC
RNAcentral lists this long non-coding RNA (57386 nucleotides) under Brassica napus (rape). RNAcentral describes it as "long non-coding RNA (BNAP_LNC017299)". The record is from RNAcentral. Lineage: Eukaryota; Viridiplantae; Streptophyta; Magnoliopsida; Brassicales; Brassicaceae.